AUCUUUUGAGUGAUGGAUUUAACAUGAGAGCUUAUGGUCAGUCAAUUUCCUCUGCCUAGCAAUAUAAGCUUUCUCGGCCAGAUUUAUCAUCAAAUACAUAGAUUGCCCCCAAGUCACAUCCAUAUAAACAUAGUUUUUCUAGGUAAACCAAGUAAGGAGUAUCAUAAUUCAGACAUAAUCAUAAAAAGGCCCAUCUAAAUUAAGAGAAAAUCUCAAAAAGAGGGAUGCUGAGCUAUCAGUCUUGUAUCUAUAAGCAAUAUCAAGACUUUACAUCACCUGCUACAUCGUGAGUGGCUACACAACUUUCAGUGGUUUGUCUUUCUUUGGCACGCCUAACUCAGCUUUGAUGUUAGUGAGAUAUUGAUAGUAGAGACACAUGAUACUUCUAGCUCAUGCAUUCUAUCUAACCCAUCCAACAACUAUCUCUUUUUUAAUUCAUUAGUGUUUGCUAAACCUCAUGCUUAAAAGUCCUAUUCUCCUUAGCACCACAGUUGGACACUUGUAGAGCAAUUUUAUUUGGGGGAAAAGAAUUUUCAAGGUGUUAACUAAUAAAUUUUAAAAAAUAAUUACAAUUUGUCCUACGAUCAUAUGACAAUUUAUCUGGGAUGAAAGGAUACAGAUAGACAUCUUCCACUUUCAAGACUAAUCACUACUUCCAUAGAUGUUGUGCAAUAAUACAAAUACUUGACCAGAUGGUAGUGAUGGUAGAAAAAAAUUUUAUUGCUCCAAAAUUAAAAUAAGAAUGCAAUAUGUUAAGCAAAAGGCUGUGCAACAUCAAAUUAAUUGAUAAGUUUGUAAUUCAGUAAAUUAACAACUUUCGUGGUAAAAUACAACAAAUUUCUUUUGAAAAAAAUAAAAAAAAUAAAUCUUAAAAGACAGCAUUCAAUUUUGUGCGCAUCUUAUUUCUUAAGAUUUUUCAGGAGGAGGGCAAUAGAGGGACUUUCACCUAUGCAAGAGAGCAGAAGCCUUACUUUCCCUAUAAAGUAGACGUCAUUCUGAUUAAUAUGCGUUUGCAAAUCAGCUCCGUUUGAAUCAGUAUUCUGAUAGACACACGAGCCAUUUACAUCCAUUUCCAAAGUCACAUGUUGCGAGGAGGACUCAUUUGAUUGCUCCUAUACGAUCAUCUAAUUCAAGUAGCAAGGGUUGGAAGAGAAUAAAAAGUCACAAUUAUUCUUUUGCAUAAGUGAGACGAAAAUGAUAAAUGCAAUAUUAUCAGCAGUAAACAAGAAGAGAACGCUCCAAGAAAUAGAUAGAUGCAGACAAGCAAGUUAAAAUGCAUAGUCCCAAACCUCCGCAUACAACUUCUCUAAAAUAGCAAUAACGUGUUGAUGCUAUGUUUUCUCAGCAUCUACCUGCAAAGGCCCGAGACCAGGAAAACAACAAUAAAACCACUAGCUGAAGGAGAAAGCAAAGAAAGAAAUACACUUGACAUAAAUCUUGACAAGAAGCACAAUUUAAGACAUAACAAACCCCAAUCAUAUUGUUUAGAACUACCAUUCGUUAUUUCGUUAUUGUAACAUUUCGAACAAGUGUUGACUUAAUUCAACAUUGUUGGAAAGAUGGGCUUUUAGAAGCAGAAGAAAGCCUCUCAAACCAAAGUGCUUGUCCUUGUAUUGAUCAAGGGAUGUAAACAUAUUACAUUUGCAGGAUGAGAUUUAAUCACUCCCCUGAUUUAUUUGGGUUGCAGUAAAACUAAGCGAGCAACUGUUUGACUUCCAAGCAACAGCUAAAUCAGCUAUUAAAAUUCAAAUAAAAUCAUAAUAGAAUAAUAACAGGCCAUCUUGCAUCAAAAAUUAAGUUUAAUUUGUGAAUUGUUUUCUAUAGACAUGUCAGUUUCUGCUAUUGAAAUGUUAAAAGCAUUGAAAAAUUAUUCAAUAAAUUAUGCAAGCAUUAAAAUAGAGGACAUAUUAAAAAGUUUCUAAUUACAAUGUUAAUAUUUCCUAUAUUCUAGCAUUUGCAUAUUUUAAUUUAUUUAAAAGCUACGUCGAUCAACUUUGGGCAUGAAGAUUUUAGCUUCUACGAGACUUGCUUGGAAUAUGCACAAGAGUGUUAAAAUAUGAUGCAUCCAACGAAAGACAAACCACGUGUAGUCUUUUAAUUAAGCCAAAGUAGCAGCUCAAACAAAUGACACUUGGACCAACAUGCAAUCAUGAAGUGGCCGGAAAAAGGACAAAUGCUACUUUGGCUUAAAUAAAAAAUAACAUGUGACUUGACUUUUGCUGGACAUGCAUCAUGUUAUUACAAGACAACAGAAAUCAGUAUGAUAGUACUAAAAGUUGACAAUAACAUGAAGAUAAGAGGCAGACUGUCAACACAUGCAUAGGCACACACAAGAAAGUAUUAACUUCUAUACCAUAGCAAAAAGUCUUUGAUAUGUCAUCUGUUGCUGCUGUGAUUCAACUGACAGCAUGGCAGCUGUUGCUUCUCUACCAAGAGCCAUUAUUGUAGAUUUAAGCUCCGUCUAUCUUGCUUCUGCAUUUCGAAGCUUCACAGCACUCUCUGCUGAUAUAUCAGAUUCCCUAAUCUUUGAUCGGCGCCUAAAUACUUCAGCUGCCUGGUGAAAAUAUUCAAUAUAAAUCUAACAUAAUUCUAAUCUUGCCUUAUACAUGCAUAUGUUACCUCAAAGCUUACCUGGGCUUCAACUUCAUGUCGAAGUUUGUCAUAACGAUGAGUCAGGUGUCGAGCAUCUUCCAAAGGUGUUCCGUUGAUUAACGCCCGUAGUGGCUCAGGUACCUACAUGUCCAAAAACCUGUAACAUAGUUAGAAAAAUGAAAAGAAAGAGCGAAACCUCAAUUAAAAAGUUCCUCCAACAUAAUCAUGGAAUUUGGGCCUACUUCAAGGAUAUAUAUAAGGAUAAUUUAUGCAAUUUUGGGUCUGAGGAUGAUUCAUAUUAGGUUAGUGUUCUUCUCUUCUGUAUUUAAGGUUAAAAUAGAAAUAAACCUAUGAAAAUAUCUAAAUUAGGGCUGUAAGACUUCCACAUGCAUCCUUCAGUCUCAUGGAUUUGAUUUUACUAUAGAUGCAAGUGUCUUUAAAGAAAAUGCUUGGAGUCAAUUGAGAGAACUCACGGCCAAAAACUUGUCACACGCUAGUCUUUGCUAGUGAUGUAAGAAGUCACAGGGUCUCUUCAACAUUUGAACCAAUAAAAUUAUUAAGUCAUGGAUGUCACUAGCAAUGAUUUUAAUAUAAAACAUUAAAUAUUUCAGAGUUGUAACUUUAAAAUGGAUUCUUUUAUUCAAUAUCAUAGAACUAAGUUUCCUUAUGAGAAGAUAAUAGUUUCGAUAAUAAUUUUACAUAUAAUUUUCUAUAUUUGAAUUAUUUUCUAGUUAGGGAUGAACUAACCUGAUCACGAAGAAUCCCGAGCAAAGUUUCCCUCUCAUUUUCCAUCAAAUCAUGUGAAGUGCCAAAUUGAAGAGCAGCUCUUGCAACGCAAGAAUUGUCACUUUGAUUCUCUGCUCCAUACUUGCAACAAUCUUCAGCCAACUUUCUCGCUACAAUAUUUGAAUACAAAAAUAUUGUACACAAGAACUAUAAAAAACUAAUGAAAAAUGCCAAGAUGGAGCAGAUGCUUCAAUACUGCCCGUACAAACCAUAAAAAACUAAUGAAAAAUAAAUAAAAUCAAGAAAUUUUACUAAUUAAAAGUCUAAAUAUAAUUUUGAAAAAAGAAAAGAAACGGACUUGCUGCUGCUUGGCGACUUGUUCUCGGAGCUUGAUUGCUUGUUUCUUGAUAGCUUCCAUACUGUUUCUUUCAAAAAGCGACGACGGCUCAGCUCAUGGAAGUGGAAAAAAAAAGUGUGAUCGAGAAAAAUGAAAAGGCGUGAAUAAUUUUUGACAAAAAGCGAAAAUCAAGGAAAGCCGGCUCUUUCCAGAAAAUAAAAAAAGAAAAAAGAAAAUCAUAAGUUUGAAAGGAGAAGAUGAUAGUGGAAGUAUGCAGUGUGGCUGCCAGGUACUUGGAUUGUAUUGUCGGGUAAGGUAAAAGUGGAGAAUUAUAAGUUUGAACAGAGCAUGUUGGACUUUUGUUGACCAAAUUCAAAAGCCCAAUGGGACGGUCCAGAAGCUUUUGAAUAGAAAAACUUGCUAGAAAGCAUCAGUUUAAAUCACUACUUAAACGCUUGCUUUAACUGCACCGCUUUGUACUGUUUUAUGUAUGUAGCGGUUGUGCGGUUGUAAUUCACGGCUGACGCUACGUGUUUGUUUGUACUGUUCUAUUCGGUGACAGAGUAUUAUUAGUUAGGCCAAAACUAUGUUGCAACAGUGGUACAAUAGCACUGUUGUUUUCAGUCAUUAGAUCUAUAGUUGUACAGUUGCAUUAACAAGAUCCAAUGGUUGAAAACAACAGUGGUACCGAACUACUGUUGCAACAUAGCUGGACCCUAUUAGUUAUUUCAAAGGGAUAAAUAAGAUUGGUUACAACAAACCUACUAAUUUUAUAAAAUUCAAGUAAUAUAGAAUAAAAUAAAAAAAUAAAUACAAAAUUGACUUUUAUUUUUUAUGGUUGACUAUAUUUUGUGUUCUCUUCGGGCACUGCUACAAUUCUUCCCUAUAUAUCAAUUACACCACAUACUAUCGACACAAGAAAUGAAAUCUAAUAUCACCUAUUUAGUUAAAAAAUCACUCAUGAAAAAAUUUUACCAUUUUGAUUUGAGGAUCCAUAUUUUGAACUACAAGCUAAUGUUCAUCAAGAAUCACUGAUGGCCGUUGAGUAGAAAAAUUAUUUUUGGACAAAUUAUUUUUGUUGAUAGAAGAAUUUCUUUAGGGACUACUAAAUUAUUAAUAAAAAUAUCGAACACACCCAAAUAUCAUCGACACAAUUGAUUUUGAGGAUCCAUGCUUUGAACUGCCGCCUAAUGUUCAUCAAGAAUAGAGUAUGGCUUGUGAGUAUAAAAUUUUCUUAUUUUGGCCCGAAAUAAAAAAAAAUUAAAUUGGAUGAGAAUCUGCCACUUUCUCAUGAAGAAAGGCAUACGGAGCAUACCAUGGUACCAUACAAUAUAAGGAGCCUCCGUUCUUUGGUUUUUCAAACUCUGAAGGGGCCAAUAUUGCCAAAUUCCCCCUUGAAAAUUCUGAUUACGACAUUAUUCAUCGCUUGAUGCAAUCAAAGUAGUGACAAAGUAAUUGCUAGGCAAGGUUGCUGAGAGCAAAAUUGUCCUAAGCAUUAUAUGCAUACAUGGUGCGGUACAUAGAGCACGUUGAAUUCCCCACUAUAACACAAAUCCAGAAAGACAAGUAAUAACUCAACUGAUAUAAAGACAAAAAGAAGAUAAAAUGAUAUAGAACAAAGAAUUUCAAAGAGACAGCAACAUACGAUAGACUGAAGCCACUUGAUCUGCUCAUUGAUUGCAGCCUUAAACUUGCAAAUAGUUACUGUACGCUAGUGCUCUAAGAAGUGAAAAUGAUGCAAGCCCUGAUUCCCUUUUGACUUCCAUUUACUGUCAAACAUUCUAGUAAUACAAAAAAUUGUUUAGAUAUCUUGCUAUAAAUAUAGCCGUUUGACUGUCAUAAUAAAGUCACAAAUAACCAUUCAUAUUGAUCUACUAUCACACAGCAUGCUUUAUGCAUACAACAGCUGUAUGUAUACCAACUCCUAACCUUAUCAACACAUUUGGCAAAAACUUAGGAAGAAAACUAUUUCUCCAUCUCUUUUUUGAAAUUUCACAAUAACCAGCACAAUGUGAAAGCUAUGUUCUAACCUUAUGAUAAAUGCUCCAGACUCCAAAAGGAUUUUAUAUAUGAGAGUUUGUUGCAGCAGAUAUAUUGACUUAUCAAGUAUGAAUCAUUGUCUGGAUGAACUAUCUUUAGAUAAAAGAAUAUUAGAACCACUGUAGAAUAUCUUUACGCUGCUGGUUCUAACAGGAAUCUGCAUGUGGCAACAAUUGCUAGAUCCACAACUCCCCAACUUGAAAUACAUAGUUGCACACCAUGAGAUAGUGCUACAAUCUACUGAGAUCUAACUUAUAUGGUACUUUAAGCUACUAAUGUUUGCAUAUUUCUACAUGUUAAAUUAACACUAUUAUCUAUAAUCACUCCAAAACAACAAAUGAUAAGCAACUUUUGGCCACUUAUUACUAGCAUCCACAAUUAUAAAUAAGAGAUCAUGGGUUUACUUGUUGCACCUACUUAAUUAUCUGCAGUUGACAUCCUGACGCAAGGUUUAAAUAGUGACUGCUUAGAACCCUUGUAGUUGGAUCUUGACCUCUCCCAUUGUAGCCAAGAUUGGUUACUCUGGUAAUGAAUCAACACUCUCCUGCUCAGGGCCAUGAAGAUCUGAAAGCUCAGCACUAGUGGAGAACUUCAUCAAUCUCUUCUUCUCAGCAUACUUGAGACAAGGCUGCCUUACGAGACCAAUCACCAUAGCACCAACGCUUAAAACUGCAACUUUUAAAGAAGAAAGAGCCAACACAACACAACACAACACAAAUCAAUAUGGUUGGAGGAAUACACAUGAUAAUGGCUCCAACAGUGACAGUGGGUAUCUUGUAGGGACGAGAUGCAGCAGGAUAUUGCAUCCUUAACCAUACAAAUGCUAUGAACUCCAUAAUCAUUCCAAAACAGUACAGGAAGUUCUCUGCAGCUACAAUAUCUCAAAAGCUCAGCCAUGAUAGCAAAACCACACCGGAUGCUGAGAAUAUGAUUCCAAUCAAAGGAGUCCCAUAACAAGACCUCUUAGCAAAAAACUCAGGUAGCGUUCCACGCUCAGCCAUCCCCAAAAGUUGGAAAGAGUCGCUGCUCAUCUCAGCCACAAACAUGCCCAUAUUGGACAUUGCUGCAGCCCCCUGGAUGCACCAUCUCAACCAAACUCCUCCAAGCACUUUAGCGAUAUCUGAAAAGUAACCAUCGGUCCACAAGUCGCGAUCUAAUGGAAUAGCUCCAGUUCCAACUAGAAGGGGAAAGAAAUAUCCAAAAACGACCAAGAUCAAAGCAUAAAACAAAGCCUUUGGAAGAGUCUUCUUUGGGUUAUCCACCUCUCCAGCUAGUUUACUUAUUGAGUCCCAGUAGUUGGAGAUUCCAAAACAGGGUGUUCAAAUACAAAUUCCAGUCCACUUCACCUAAAUUUACUACAAGCCAUCUUGAAGGCUCUAACUUGGGAAGGGACACAAGUCCCAUAACCACAAAAGGAAGGAAUGAGAAAAUCUCUAAAAGAACAGCAGCCCAUCCCACAAUGGUUAGACCCCUAUAGUUCAUGAAAGUGAGAACAAAAGUCAAAGCUAACGCCGCAAAGGCUCUAGGUAACCCAUCGCCCAAAGCAGGGAUAUACCAGACUUCAAGUAGUCAAGAAACAGAACUGGGUAUAAAGCAUUAUCAAUAACCCCACUUAGCCAUUUCAUCCAAACUUGCUGAAAACCCCAAUAUGGGCCUAAGGCAGAUGAAACCCAAACCACAUAACCACAAUUUUCAGGAAACACGGUACCCAUCUCGGCAGUAAUUAAAGCUUCAGGGACACUCCAUAUAAUCGGAAACACCAAGAAACCAAGAAGUGCUAAAAGAGGACCAGCUGCCUUUACACUAUCCUCAACACCAAACGCCCCCCCAGAAACCUCAUAGAAUAUAAGGAAAAUAAGUGGCAAGAUUGAUACUUUUUUAGCGCCAUGGACUCUAGGAGAAGAUGGUUGGUCAUUGAUAUUAACAUAUUCAACAGCAUCAGACUGCCCCAUUUCUACUGAAAGUUGCCUAUUCACAGUGUUCCUCAAUUUCUGCAUCAAGUUUAAGCAUAACUAUCAAAAGGGUAUCGGCAUCUAAAUUAUGAAACAAAAUGAGCAUUUACUUAUUAAAAAAAUUCAAAAAAACAGAAAUGGAUUUCACAGAACACAUGAAUUUAAGUUCAACAUUAAACAGGCGCUUAAGAAAACAAAAGGGUCUGGUCGUAAAGCCAUCAGAUUGCAAGAUUGAACAACAUUAACGGAAUCAAUAGAAUCGAUGUAAAGAGAUCUGAAAAGAAAAUAAAAUAAAAGAUGAAGAGGGAUAAAACGACCCAUCAAAUAAGUGCAUGCAGAGCAGAGAGGCAGAUACUAGAGAAGCUCCGUCAUGUUAGAGAGAGCCUAAAUCAAUCAGAGCUCACUGAGUUUCUUUUCAACUGACCGGCAGAUUUGGAGUAGCAUAACAUAAUAUUUUUGCUUUUAAUUUUCGGAACACUUUUGAAUGGAAUUUUUUGUUUUUCAAAACUAACGAAAUCGUAAAAAUAAAUAAACACGUGUUUGGUUUUGGGCUUCUUCUUUUGUUCAUUUAAUAUCAUUUGGUUCCCUGAUUUUUGACUAAUUAUCAACGGUAUCCUGUUAGUUUCCAAAUUGAAAUAAUAUUAGGUCAUGAGAUUAUUUACUCCAUUUAGCAAUGUAGACUUAAUAGUGUAUUGAAAAAGCUUUGUCAAAUAGUAGUAAUAGGGGCAUAAGAAAUAAGUUCUUCAGAAUUUAGAUAAUAUACUUGGCUCUAGGAAGAUUCCCCUCUUAUCACUCAAGUUAGGCUUUUACCUUAGAGUUGAGUAAAUUAUUAAAAUAAAUUAUAGCUAUCACAAAUUCGUCAGGAGACUUUCAAUUUUUUUCCAUCAAAUGGCAAUGAGGCAAAAUUACCUCAACUUAUAUUUCAAAACUAAUACUUCAAAUUCUGACAAUAAAUUUGAUGACAGUCAAUUUUAUGUAUAGUAAUUUUGACUCUUUUGUUUGGUCUAAAAGUAAUUAUUUAAAAUGACAAUAUAACUUAUUUAGAAGAAAUGGUAAACUUAUAGUUCGUAAUAUUAUUUACACAAAUAAUAAAGACUAAUUUGAUAAUAAUCUUUCAAAUAAUAAUGAAGUGUUAAUUACUAUUUAACAUUUUUGAUUAAUUUCUAAAUUUAAAACAAAUAUGAAAGUUGAUUGCUUUGAAGGUUGGAUCGUGACAAAUUGACAAAUGAAAAGAGAAGUAGAGAAUAUAUAUUCUGAUGAAAGGGACAAGAUUCAGCAAGGGGACAAUAUUCUCUAUUGGACCGACAAAUGGGGGAAAAGAAUAUAUAUAUAUAUAUAAUUUCUUAUUUGUGGAUUGGCCAACACGUGUAACAAAUAUGAAAAGAUAAAAUUUGGCGUGGUUUUAACCGAUAUAAGACAAGAAGAACAAAGCAAAGCCCAUGAAAAUUCACCUUUCAUGUGGGUUGGAUCGGAUAAAAUCAAUAUCUUGAAUCAAACAAAAUGUUUGGUACAUAAAGUUUUUUUUUUUUACAUGAUAUUAGAUUUUUAUCCCUCGAAUUUUUACAUGAUAUUAGAUUUUUAACCCUCACUAAUAUUCGAGAGAUAUCUACUCCUCAUUUUUGGGUAAGGGAGAAGACUACCUUCACUCAAUUAUAAUUAAGGAAUGAAAUACCCCCACAUUACACUUGUAGGGGUUCAAACUGUUGCCCUCCAACUUGGAGUGCAGCAGCGCUGACCACUCGGCCAAAGUCCGAGUGGCUGGUACAUGAAGGUUUUGAGUGUGUGUAAUGAGCCAAAAUUUACAUAAGGAUAUUUUAGUAAAUAUAAGAAAAAAAGGCUCAGGGAAUGGCCUAUAGAUAGAAGCACGCAGCCCAUGAGUGAUGAGAAUACAAUUUAACUGUUCAAACUAAUUAGAAGCAAAUUCUUUCAUAUCUUUCUUUAAUUUUUCCGCUUAGUUCCUUAGCAUCCAAUCAAGUUCAAGUUAAAACACUGUUGAGACAACAAUAUGCAGGCAUCAAUAAGCAUAGUAGUUUUUUAUAUGUAUUCUAUACGACAAUUAUAGAACUUUUUGCAGCAACUUUUUUUCAUUAACUAAUGUUUGAAGAACUUGUUAAAAAAAAUGGUAAAUUUAUAAUUUUGAAAAAAAAGAAAGAAAGUGACGUUACCUCAUCGUCAUUAGAGACUUGUUGCAAUGAUAGCUCAAAAUUAAAAUUUUUGAAGAAUUAGUAGACGACGAUGAUGUAAUAUUUAUACAGUCACCAACAUGUUGAUUUUUGUUUAAUGUUUGAUCGAUAGAAACGCUUGUCGUCGUCGCUGUUGUUGAAUUCAUACAUAGAACACAGAAGAGAAGGAGGGAGGAAAGGGAAGAGAAGAAGAGAGAAGUGGCAUAUAGCAAAUAUGAUAUGCUAGCUGCAUACCAGCCUUAGAGAGAUUUUUUUUAAUAUUUAUUAUAUUUUUGUUUUUGUUAUUGGUUUGUCAUAUGCUUCCAGGGAAGCAAUACGUUACAUCAUAAAUUGCACCUUUUAGGGGAGGUGGUAAAAAACGUGAGAGCACUACGCUCCAGCGCAUACAUAUAGAAAGAGUUUUCGAAUUUUAAAAAGUUUCUUUAUUUCUUCCAUGUUUUUGUGCUUAAAAUAAAAUUUAAUUGUAUUUUGCAUUAACUUAGAAAAGAAAAGCCAGUUCUAUAUAUAAACUCAUGCAUUAAUUAGAAGAGUUGAACUAUUGGCACCCCUCUAUAAUCUUUAUAAAAUUCCUCUCCUAUUGUAAUUACAUUAAAGGACAAAAUAAAUCUAAUUAUAUCAUUAUAUUUCUCUUUUCAACUCUUUACACCCGUGCAACUACACCAAAGUCUUUUACAAUUUUUGUUUCCUCACAAACAACUUUUUCUUGAGAGAUUUACAAAACUUAUUUUUAAUUUUAAAAAAUAAAUAAUAGUUAUUUGAGUCCACUUUAAUUUACAAAACUUUCUAAUAAUAAGUUUUGUAGACUUAUUUUUCAUUUACAAAACUUUCUGAACUUAUUUUUAUUUUUAAAAAAUAAAUAAUAGCUAUUUGAGUCCACUUUAAUUCUACUUAAUUCAUACAUGUAUUUGAUUUUUUUGAGUAAAAUAUGUAUGAUUUAAUAAUUCAAAAAUUUAUAAAAACAAUAUUUGUAAUUGGAGUUAUUUGGAAGAAACUGAAUUGUUUUUCUUUUUGAAUAAAAAAAAGCUGAAAAAAGAAAAAGGAUAUUUUAGGAAUUAAAAUAGAUUUUGAUAGAAAAGGGGUUUGAACAGAAAAUUACAGGGUGCUAAUAGUCCCACUCUAAUUAAAAAAUGAGUUCAUGUGGAUGCAAAUGUACAAUAAAAGAGAUUCUCUUUUGUAUAUUGGAAGUAACAUAACUAGUGAGUAUAAUAUGUAAAUACAAGUUACCAAGAAUUUGCACUAGUGCUAAUUAAUGGCACAACUUUUGAGCUAUGAAUUUCUUCUUGAUAGUUUAAUUAUAUUUUUGAGUUUUCGGUAAACCUAUUUUAAUAAUUAUUAAAUUAUUUUCACUUCUUACGCCUUAAUAAAAAAAAAUCAAUAUUUUCUGGUCUAUUCUAUAUUUUGAAACUUAAUUUUUAAUUCUUUAUAUUGCAAACCAAACUAAGUCAAACAGAGUAUGCUCUUCAAAGAAUUUUUCCAUUGGCCAUUGCCUUCAAGAAGAUUUUAUUUUAUUUUUAUAUAUUAAUUUAACAUUUUUCCGUGCACUUGUAAACCGGGCCGUCGGAUUCCACAUAAAGCAAAUGAUCAAACCGUUACAAGACCGACCCGGACCCACUGACUCUCAUUUUCUUUCAUUUGACCAUUAAAAGCUUUUGACCACCCCCGCCAAAUAAAUAAAUAAGCUCUUGUUCUCUUUUGUUCCUUCUUAAAGGAAAAUAUAUCUGAUCACCAGAUAAUGAUUCCGGUGUCACAAAAUAUCAAGACAACCCCUAAAUUCCCUUAAAUUUACGAUAACACCCCACCAUGGAUGAUUCCGUUGAAAUGCCGCCUUACGAUGAAAGGCCUUAGAAGGGUUUUAACUUCACACCCAUGCGCUUGAUCUUAACCCUCAUUUUCCCAAUUUUAACUUUCUUUUCGUUGGCAUUUUUGAUCGAGAUCGUUACUGUUUUAUUCGGCGAAUCAUCAGUUUCGAGUUCCAUUUUUGUCCCUUCCCAGUGCAAGAUAGUGCCAGCAGUAAGCUUUUUUAAAAUUUUCAAUUUUUUUCCAUUUAUGAAGCUCAAAAAUUUUAUUAAUUUUUGAAUUUUUUUUGAAUGAUUUUGCAGGUGUUGAUAUAAGGUCAUCAAAGGUUUGUGAACUUGGAGUGUUGAAUUAUAAGGCGAAGCGUGUGUUUUAUCCAUUUGAAGCAAGUAAAUUUCGCCGUCGAUAUGAUUACUAUUGGGCUUCUAUCUUCAAGGUAUUCAUACAUUUUCUCAACUUUAAUUACUUACCUGUACUAUUAGCUUCUUAGUGGCGGUCUUGUUUUGUGUUUUUGAUGAAUGUGUUUAAGGGUCAGUUUGGGAAUGCUGGUAAUAGGAUGUUGUUAGUGUUUGGCAGUAAAUUUGCUAUGCAUAAUUCAGCAAUGUGCUUGAUUUUGGUUAUUGUCUUUAACAAUUUUUAGGUAGAGUACUUAGAUCAUUCACUGGGACAAACGCAGAGCUUGGUUGACCAAAGAUAAGUUCCAGGCUGGGGUCGGCAAUGCAGAGCUUCUGCGUGUAUUAAAAUUUGAAGCCUAGUAAAUGAAUUUCUAAUUUAUUUAUAGUGUUUGUUUUAUCUUGAUAGAAAUGAAUGCUAACUCAAGAUUUUCCCAACUUUGAUUACUUACCUGUACUAUAAGCUUCUUAGUGGCGGUCUUGUGAGCGGUGUGGCUGACAGCUUCUUGAAAAUUAUAAGUUUGAACAGAGCAUGCUAGACUUUUGUUGACCAAAUUCGAAAGCCAAAUGGCACAGCUCAGAACCUUUUGAAUUGAAUAACUUACUAGAAAGCUCCAAUUUUUUGUUGGCUACGGUAAAAGGAUGUUGUUUUAUUCUUCUUAUACUUUACGCUUGCAUCAGCUUAAAUCACUUCUUAAACGCUUUGCUUUAACUCCACCGCUUCAUACUGUUCUAUAUAUGUAUCGGGUAUGCGGUUGUAGUUCACUGCUGAGACUACGUGUUUGUUUGACGUGGUAAUUACGUUACGAGUCUGUUAAACAUUCGGUGAUUAAAGUAUUAUCAGUUAUUUCGAGGGGACAAAAAAGAUUAGUUACAACACACCCACUAGUUUUAUAAAAUUUGAAUAAGAUGGAAUAAAAUAAAAAAAUAAAUAAGUAAAUUGACUUUUAAUUUAGUGGUUGAAUAUAUUUUGUAUUCUCUCGGGGUACUGCUGUAAUUGUUCCUUAAAUGUCAGUCACACCCACAUGUUACAGACACAAGAAAUGGAAUCUAAGAUCACCUGUUUAAUUAAAGAAUCACUCAUGAAAAAAUUUUGCCAUUUUGAUUUGAGGAUCCACAUUUUGAACAACCAACUUAUCUUCAUCAAGAACAGAUCAUGGCCUGUGAGUAGAAAGAUUAUUUUUGGACAAAUUAUUUUUGUUAAUAGAAGAAUUUCUCAAGGGACUAUUAAAAUUACUAAUAAAAAUGUCAGACACACCCACGUACCAUCGACACAAUUGACUAUGAGGAUCCAUGUUUUGAACUGCCACUUAAUGUUCAUUAAGAACAGAGUAUGGCUUGUGAGAAGAAAAUUUUCUGAUUUUGGCCUGGAACAAAAAAAAAUUAAAUUGAAGGAGAAUCUGGUACUUUCUCAUUAAGAAAGGCAGACGGGGCAUACUAUGGUACCAUAAAAUACGAAAAGUCUCCAUUCUCUAGCUUUUUAAACUCUGAAGGGGGCAAUAUUCCCCAAUUACCCCGUGAAAAUUCUGAUUACGACAUUACUCAUCGGUUGAUACAUAAGUACAAGUACUGACAAAAUUAGGAAAAAUAUGACUCAUAAGUAAUUACUAGGCAGGGCUCUUGAGAGCAACAUUAUACUAGGCUUUAUAUGCAUACAUGGUGUGGUACAUAGAGCACGUUGAAUUCCACACUAUAACACAAACCCAGAAAGACAAGUAAUAUCUCAACUGAUAUAAAGACAAAAAGAAAAUAAAAUGAUAUAGAAAAAAGAAUUUCUAAGAGACAGCAACAUACAAUAGACUGAAGCCAGUUGAUCUGCUCAUUGAUUGCAGCCUUAAACUUGCAAAUGUUUACUGUAGCCUGGUGCUCUAAGAAGUGAAAAUGAUGCAAACCUUGAUUCCCUGUUUACUUCCAUUUACCAUCAAACAUUCUAUUCAUAAGAAAAAAAAUCUUUAGAUAUCUUGCCGUAAAUAUAGCCAUUUGAUUGUCUUAAUAAAGCCACACACAACCAUUCAUAUUGAUCCACAUUGCCACAUAGCCUGAUUUAAGCAUACAACAGCUGAAUGUAUACUGACUCCUAACCUUAUCAAUACAUUGGCGACAACUUAAGAAAAAAACUAUUUCUCCAUCUCUUUUUUGAAAUUUCACAAUAAAACAGCACAAUGUAAGAGCUGGAAUGAAAAUGGACCGUUUGGAACUAUGGCGGAAGCUUCAACUAGUGUAGUGAGUUGACCUUCUUAUUAACCUAGCGAGAUCAAACACUGCCCUUGAUCUUGAACAUAUCAAUACGAUACGCACAACUUAUGAUUGAAUCCAGAAACAAUCAAAUCUUUAGCAAGAAUAAUUAAUCAGAAUCAAGAAACAAGUUUAAUGAAUAUAAACCUAUAAUUGGAACAAACACAGCCAAAGAACCCAAGAAUGACACAACGAACACCAAGGGAGAAGCUUUCCAGUGAGAUUAUAUUAAUGAUCAAAGAAGAAUCUUUUUACAAAGAUAACAAAAGAGAUUUCAGAGAAUAAGCUAUGACCCUCUCUCUCUUCAAUCUCUGUCUAGUUUGUUAACAGUGAUGACCCCAAUCUGCUUCGUUAGCCAGCUUCAUAACUGCGUCAGUGACAAACUAGCAAACCCAGAUUGAGCAGACUAACGACACGUGCAUAACGGCUUUAACGAACUUGGUUAAAGAACUGCUCACAUGUUCGUCACGCGUGUUGCUUAAAUGAUAGCCAAAACGACUUCAACCAAAUGCCGUUUUGAAGCUUAUGAAUUAUAAGUGAAAACACGUGCUUGUCUCGUGACAUUUAAAUGCAACAACAAGCCCAAAACACUGCCGGUUCACUAUGUUGAGUUUGCCAUCUCUAAGCUUCACAACUAGCAGCGGACAAGAUGAUAAUUUAAUUGACAUGGAGAGCUUUUAUAUCACUUUUACAACAUUCUAUAUAAUUGUGAUAUUGGGAAUCGUCGGUGUUGUAUAUGUGAACCCUCGUUGGCGACACUGGUGGUUUUAUCUUUAUUGAAAUAUGGAUGACUUUUCGUUACUAUUUUGUUGUACAUAACAUUAUUCUCAGGAGAUUUAAUCAUUGAAAUUAACAUGUUAGUUUCAUUAGAAGGCUGAGUGGUUAGGGCUGCUACCCUCCAACUUGGAGGGCAAUAGUUUGAACCCACAAGCGCAGUGUGGGGGUAUUUCAUUCUUUAAUUACAUUGUAUAAUUGAAUAAAGAUAAUAUUCUCUCUUACCCAAGUGUGAGUGGAGUAGACAUCCUUCGAAUAUUAGCGAGGGUUAAAACUUGGGCAGAGCUCAAUAAGUAUUGAUGUAAGUUGGUCCUAAUAAUAGUCUGAUUUGUAAAUAUCAGUUAUAGUCUCAUGUUUCCUUCCUUAAUUAUAUUGUAUAAUUAAGUAAAUGUACUCUUUUCUCUUACCCAAGUGUGAGUGGAGUAAACAUCCCUCGAAUAUUAGUGAGGGUUAAAAUCUGGGUAGAGCUCCAUAAGUAUUGAUGUAAUUUGAUCCUAAUAAUAGUAUGAUUUGUAAAUAUCAGUUAUAUUAUCAUGUAAUAUGAGUUGUAAUUUGAGUAAUAAUUUCAUGUAAUUACAAAAAAAAUGUUACUUUCAUUACUUUUUUCUUCGUUAAAAUUCUCAAGUAUCAAUUAUGUUUGCUUAAGAAAUAAAAUUUCGUUAUGAAAAUUGUAGCAGUAUUUCCGAGCACCUCACAUUUUCAAUGAUUUUUCAUAAAUCAAUUAAUCUGCCAUACCAAUAUCAGGUUUAGUUUUUCAGACUAAAUGAUCAAGAAAGCAAACAUACAAAUUCACAUUUUAGAGGGGUAAACUAGCUUUUAGAUUUUAGAACUAGGCUAGCUACCUCACCAAAUUCCAAUCUGUACAGUGAACUACAAGAUUAAGAAAAUAAUGUAUUUAUAGUUUAAUUGAAUCAUGAGAAAACAAUGUAGUCAUAGCUCAAUCGGACAUGAUCACGGAGAGGCAUAUUCUUUUCAAGUUAAUUUGAUCCAUUUAUAAGAAAUGAAGUGGAUUGAAGUUAAAAGUUCAAAUAACAAAUCCUUGUUCUUGAGUUUUACGACGUCGUUACUCCUUCAAGAGGCUGAUUAUGCAAGUGAAUGCGGAAACAGAAUGCAUUAUCCACGGGGAUGAUAAAUCAAAAGGCGGGAUCAUAGUCUAUGCCCGCAGAUUAACAAUUUCACUCAUAUAGAAAAUUAAUUUUUUUAUAUAUACUAAUCAACACUAGAUUGAUUAUGUUUUGUAUGUUUAUAUGCUAAUCAACAAUAAAUUAUAUUAAAUGAAGAAAUGCUUCAAAUUUUUCUAAUUUAAUUUAGAAAAUCAAUUAUUAACAUUAAUAUUCCUAAUAAAAAUUAUUUUCCAUCGGUAUUCAAAAUUUUCACUUAUAGAAAAUGUGUUUUACGUGAAUACAAGUUAUUGUGUAAAUUUGAAUGAUAGCGAAAAAUAAUUUUUUUAAUUAUUGUAAAAAUAAUUAACCAUAACAAAUCCCUUGUGUAAAUAAUAAUCAUUAUUUAAAAGGUAGAAAGAUGGUUAGUGCACAAUCAAAUUUUAAGCCCCUACCUCCUCGGCCCAAGAUUCAAACUUAGAUGAUCAGCCAAAUAAAAUUAUUUGAAAAUCAUUCAAUCAGGUUCUCGGGGAAAAAAUACAAGAUCCGUAUUUGCAUGAUAUAUAUGAAUUAAUGUAAUUUAUUUGAAUUAUCCAAAUUCAUUAGAGAUAAAACUAUAAAAGAUACCAAAAAAGUUAGAAGGAAGGGUGUGCUGGGAUAUUUUACAAACUAUAGGAAUCUGGUGAGAUUUUGAGCCAAACUGUAGGGAGUUGAAGGCAUUUGCCCAAUAUGUUUAGACGUACACUAACCGUUAUUUGAUCUUGUUGUUGGUCAUGUGAACUAAGAUGUAAAUUAAAGAAAAAGUAUAAAAUUAAAAAAAGAUAAGAUUUCUAAAAUGUGUGGAAGGUGAUUCAUGAUUCACUAAAAUUACUUGCCCCACAUAUAAAGGUAAACAUGUCUAAUUUCAUUAAAAAUAGGUGGAAAAAAUUAACUAAUAGAAAGCUACGGAAAUUAACCCCCACAAAAAUGACUUUUUAUAGAAGAAUUUAUGUUUUUUAAAAUAUGUUAUCAAAGUGUAUUUGAUCAAAUCUCAAUUGCUUAGUAUGGUUAGGAUUUUGUGAACAUAACUAAAAAGUGAAAAAUAUGAAUGAUAGGGGUGAUGCUUGCAAUAUGAAUAAAUAAUGGACUGAUUCAAUUGAUGAUUAAAUUUAUAUAUUAUUGAUUAUUUAUGAAUUUUCAGACUUGUUAUGAUGUAUAACUAUGUGAUUUUGAAACUUGAAACCGUGGCAAACAUUGAAAGGAAUUAUAACUUGAAAUCAUGACUCACGGGGUAUGUCAUGAUUCACGUGCACAAAAAAGGUAGAAUUGUGGAAAUUUACAACCCAACGACAAGUACGGAAAGAAAGGAAGAAAAUUAAAAGACUUCGGGCCUAGCCUGCGUGUAUUAAUUAUUAGAUUACUUUUUUUUAUAAGGGUAAUCAUCAAUUUACUCCAUAACAAUCUUUAAUUCAUUUCUUAAAAAUAUCAAAACUUUAAUUUAUCUUUUAAACAUCGUUACCUCUCUAUUGGUUUUAACAGUUCAAAGGGUAAAAUUAUAUUUGCAUAUUUUCUUGACCGCCAACUAAAUGAUAAAACUCAAAAUUCAAUCUUGUUAUCUUGUUUCAAUCCUCUAUCAAUCAAAUAAGAUUUCUAAAAUAUGUGGAAGAUAUUGCAUGAUUUCCUCAACCUACCUGGCCCGAACAUCAAGGUAAAUAUCUCUAAAAUAGUUGAUUAAAUCUCAGUUGCUAAGUAUAGUUAGGAUUGUGUGAACAUCACUGAAAACUAUGAUUGAUAGAAGUGAUCUUUGCAAUAUGAAUAAAUAAUUAACUGAAUCAAUUGAUUUAUAUAUUAAAGUUUAUGAAUUUUCGGGCUUGUUGCGAUAUAAUAAUAGCAUAUGAUUUUGAAACUUGAAACAGUGGUAAAUAUUGAAAGGAAUUAAUUUGAAAGCAUGAUCCGUGGGGAAUGUGAUGAAUCGUGUUUACAAAAAAGGUAGAAUUGUGGAAAUUUAUAACAGAACGAUAAAUAUGGUAAAAAGGAAGAAAAUUGAAAGACUUGGGGCCUGGCCUGGGUGUAUUUUCUAACUAUCCAAUGGACAAAAUUAUAUUUCUAUACUUUCUCUUACCUAAGUUUCAUAGAAUAGCUCAUUUCAUUUUUAUUUUUUAAAUAAUAGCCCAAAAUAUCAUUAUGUUAACUCAUUAUUAGUUGAAUGGCGUUUGUUAGUAAUUCAUUAAGGGUAAAAAAUGAUUUUCUAUCAAAGAGAAAAUUAGAAAAAUAAAUAAAAAUUGAUAUAUAACUAAAAAUUAUUUUAUCUAAUCCCACUAAAUAAGAAAUGCCAAAAAAGAUGAAAAAAUUAUAUUUCAAGCAAUUCUUUUUUCACUUAUUUCUAUUUUGGCAACAUGAAAGCCCUAUAAACCCUAGAUCUAAGUACCAAAAAUAUCACAAUUUUCUUAUUCAUAUAAGUAUACUCUCUAAUUGCAUUGUAAAAUGGCUUGAAUUGAAUUGAAGAUAAAGAAGAUAUUCAGCACAUGCAAGCACAUAAAAAUUGGUGGCAUUUUUGAGUUUUUCUUCCAAUGAUUUAAAGAUAUUGUUUUAAUUACAGUUUGUUCCUUAUGACAAUUAUUCAAUGGCGAUAUCAAACUAUAUCAUCGUUGAUUUCAUUUAAGAAAAAAGUUAAUGAAUUUUGCAUACUUUGUAGUGUUAUUUAAUUGUGUAAAAAAAUUAUUUUAAUAUAGUUUGUAUCGCUUUAAUGAAAAAUCCUAUUUUGCCCUCAAUGAAUUACUGGUUAACGAUUUUACACUAAUGGUGAGUUAAUGGAAAGAUAUUUUAGGCUAUUGUUUGAAAAGUAGGGAUAAAAUGAGCUAUUGCAUUAAACUCUAAGGAUGAAAAAUGAUUUUUCCCUUUUAUUAUCAAUCAACUAUCUGAUAAAAGUCAAAACUCAUAUUUUUUUUUCCCUUGUUUCAAUCCCCUCUCAAUCAAAAAAGUUUCCUUGUCUAAGCAAUGAGGAAUAUGGCUAGAAAGAUUGUUAUUAGAAAGAUUUAUCAAUAGUAAUUAGUUCACAACUGAACAGUUUUAGAUUAUUGUGAGUCAAUAUAGGUCCUGUUUAGGAUUGAAGUGUUGCAGUUUUUAAGCUACAGCUGCUGUAGAAAAAAAAACUAUAAUUAUGAAAUAAGAGUUAAUAAUAUAUAAUAAAUAUAAAUUUUAAAUAAUAAUUUUGACAAAAUUAUUAAAAAUAUAAUAGAUUUUUCAUAAUACAAAUAAAAAAAUCAUAUCAACAUAGCUUGCAAGGUACAACAGUUAGUAUGAUGUUAGUUUAUUUUUGCGUCAAUAUAAGUAGUCAAAUUGAAUAAGUUAGUGAAAUGCUGCCUCACUGUCCCAUUGAAUAUGAUUCAGCUAACAGGGCUAGAGCUUGUGGAUGCCAAUGGCACUGAACAAAGUAUUGGGUGGUAAUUUUAAGACCACGCUAUGCCCAAAACCCAAGUUAGGCGAUUACAAAUACGGGAAUCAAUGUCACUUUGCUAGGAAUGGAGAGGAUAGAUUGCUUAGUGAAAUGCAACUUUGUAGAAUGCUGAGAGAUGUGCUGAGAGAUGAGGAUAGUUGUCGAUUUCUUCAUGUAAAUGCUGAGAGAUGUGCGGAAGUUUCUACUCAGUUUAGGCUUAGUUUAAGAAUAGCCUGGUGAUAAACAUUUUGAGUGGUGGAUCUUCUGUGGAUAACAAAAGUAGGUCUAUUCAAUGGGAACGCGACAAGGGGCUGGCUAACUCGCUCAGGUUGUGCAAAUGUUAAAAGCAGAAUGCCAGUUGUAUGAAGUUAUGUCAUUUUCUUUAUAGAACUAUGAAAGCUUGGAGUCCACGAUUCAAUGGAAUCUCGGGCUGUGCCAAUGAUUGUUUCAAGUACUUUUUCUACUUUCAAUGUCCAGACUAAGACUAUUUCUAAGCAGCAAGUGCAGGAUAUAAAGUGCAAAUCAAAAUAGACAGAAGUGAAGAGGAAGAUACGUGGUAUAUAUGUUGAUUGGAUUGAAGAUAUACCACUUUUGCCUAGUUCUUAGAACAAAGCAGAAAGCUGUAGUUAAAAAUAUACCUUCUGCUAAAGAUAAGUAGUCAAUAGUUCUAUUAGUGCAUAACUUUGCGAUUAAGGAUGAUCGCUGUCUAUUUUAAGAGCUUUUAAUAGAAUUUAGUAGCCCUGAUUUUCAAUCUCAGUGUUUUGCGGCUGUUAUCGACAUCCCUCUGUUACAUUUUUCAAGUUUCAUUGAUAAAUUAGUAGUUAGCCUUAUGAAGAAUGCACACACCAUAACCAUGUACGUUAAAUAGCAAACCUGCAUUUUAUUGAACUGUGAACUACUGAUUCAAUAAAGCUCAACAUAAGCUAACAAGUCUUUGUGAAAUUGCUUCAUGGUACAUUGUUUGAAGUAUUUAAGCUAAUAUAUGAUUAUUAAUGGGCUCGUGAGCCAACCCCAUUAAUUAUAUGUACAUAUAUAUAAUGUUACCAUCAAUAUGAUAUGUGACAUCCCAUAACAGCUAAUUAUAGAUCUUUAUCCAUUUUCAUAAUUUGCCUUCUGGCUUCCACUGCUCGUCACUAAAUUCAAAAUCCAUUGCACCUCAAAACAACAUGAGAAAUCUUAUAGGCAAAUCAUGACCAGUUCAAAGAUAAUAGCGAUUAUAGGGAAAGAAAAUUAAAAUCGAAGACGCAUAUAAAAUAAUCAAGCUACUGAUGAACAAAAUAACAUGAAAGUGUAAGUAUUUAUACUAACCUUCACUUAUUAGGAAGUUUGUUUCGCUAUUGGGUAAGAUCAAGCUCUCUGCAUAUCCUAUUGGCAAAAGGAAAUCACGCACGUGUGAUCUCUCUCUCUCUCUCUACACACGCACACAUAUACACACGCAUAUACAUAUACAUGCAUGGUCAUCAUCUUAGAAACCGAUUGAGAAAUUAUUGUCAGAGUUUGAAUUUGCGCAAUGACUAGUCAUGUUGCUAAAAAGAAAAAAGAUUGAGAUUGAAAGAAAUUCAUUAUCAUCAAAUUGGUCCAAUAUCCACUUCACUGUGUGGAUCAAAUACGUUUUCGAAUAGUGCACUGAUCUACAAUCUACUGCAAUAAUUUGUUAGGACCCUACAUCAACAAAUUAUGGGAUUAGUUGGUUUAUUAACCCUAAUACAUCCGGACAAGUCAAUCCUUUCAUGAGAAACAAAAUGAAUUUUGCAUCCCAUGAAACACAACAUACUCAGCUAGUUGAAAUUGUGGAUAUACGGGGGUAACGUAAGCAUGCUUUCACAAUUUGAAAGAUUUAUUUUUUAAGAUUUAGUAUUUCUGGGAUCCUAUUGAGAUAGAGGGGUGGUGAAGGUCUAUAGAUUUUAACUUGACAGCUUCCUAUAACCAAAGAUACAUAACUAUACUAAAUGAGCAUCAUUGAAUUUCAAAGUUAUUCAUUAUAAAUACUUAAAGAAAGAAAAAUAGAUAUUUUGGUAAUAGUAAUACAUUAUACCUUUUCUCUUUUCCAAAUUUGCUUAACCUUACUACAAGGCAAGCUGAGUCCAAUCAGGUUCUCCAAUUCAAAAUCUGAUGUCAGUAUUUUCAAAAGAUAUUUAUGCCAAUGGAGAUUUCUCAAUUCUAUAGGAAGGCAUUUUUUUUUUUUGAAACUGAUUAAGCAUCAGUUGGUUACUGUAUUACACAGAGAUAUAUACAACUGCUAUGACAGCAGGUCAUUACACUGAUAUUUACAAUCAGAUAUAUACAUGUGACUUAUAUUAUUACAUUUUUAUUCUAUGAAGUACAUGCCCAUCCAAAUACCCCUCACAGAGGAGGGAUGUCUCUACUCCACUCCCAUUGCGCAAGGGAGAAAGACGUUGUAAGAAGUCUCCAUACAAUUAUAUUUAAUUGAGGGAGGUUGAGUCCGUGGGGACUCGAACCAUUGCCCUCAUAGUCAUGCUUAACUUUGAGGGCAAUGAUUCACCACUGGGCUACAAGCCCAAGUGGCUAUAGGAAGGCAUUCUAAACCUCAGUGAAGUUACACCCUGGAGCUUAUAAUUAGAACACCAUCAUACUCGGAUAUAUAAAAUUUCAGCAAUCUAAAAUUUGACAUUGUUUUAAAUGCUCCAGAAUCUAAACGUAUGUCUCUUAUCCUGGAGAAUUCAAGAAUAUACUUUCGGUUGCAUGUGUCCCUUCAGAAAAGAAGCAAAUAAUGAGUUCGCAUAAAUUUUCUCAGGAAAAAAAUCCUAAAAUUUAUAAAGAGCUCCUUAAAUGAAGACAAAACCUGCACUCGCUCAACUCUUUUUUUUUUUUUUUAUGUUGUUCUAGUCUUCUUCAAUCCCCCCCUCUAAAACUUUAAUCCAAGCGUUAAGUGUAAGUAAACUAAAAUAUGAUUUUCGUAUGCAAGUACAACACAACAUACCCAUAAAAAUGAAGAGCGGAAGUUAGAAUCAAACCUCCAGCAAUUGAUAUUUUGCAAACUGAUAUUUGAUUCUUCUGAGACUUAUGUAAUCGUUUUGAUGGUGCAGUUUUUGAAUUAGAUUACAUAGCCUCAGGUACUAAUACCAUUUUCACCAUUUUGUUUUUAUUUCAUCUUUCCAUCAAAGAUGAAGGGGUGGGAAAUUAUCAAAGCAGCUGUUAGAUGACACCUGCUUCUAGACCUGCAAGUAAAACCAAAGAAUGAGCUCCAUUAGAUACAUUUGAGUUAAUAAAAUCCCUUGUUCCUCCUAAUGAUUAUAGACAUUAAUUAGGAGGGAGAAAUGAAGUAAAUUAAAUUAAAUGAAGGACCUUCAUUCUCCACGCAUGCAGCCGGCUAUUUUGUUACCAAGUUGUUGAAAGGAAGUAAAUAGAGAAGCAUUCAGAUACCACUCUCCCAGAUCGAUAUUCCUAGUAAGACCAAGGUGUAGUUGUACCACUCGGCCUGUGGAGUUGCUGCAGUCAACCCUUUCCCUUUGUUCAUCUACCCAGUUUUGAAGUCUAUAAGGGGAAUUGAAGAAAUGUUUAAGCCACAAAAGAUCAAAUUCCUCAUGCUCCAAACAUCCCUCACUCCACCCCCCCCACCCCCCGGCGCCCUCUUCUAAUAUUAUUAAUACGAGAACUAACAUUGUCACCAUUUUGAAUUUUGAACCACCCAUUCUAGCUAUAUCUCUAACUAUUAAAAAACACACAUUCUCUCUUUCUCUAUAACUAUAAAUAACAAAAGGGCUCUAUGUUAUUUAUAACAAACACAUCUAACAAUUUAUACACUCAGGCCCCAGCUAGCUUUCAGUUGUCUUCUUUGGUAGUCUUCAGCCUUCUCAAAGACUUUCGUCAUGCCUUACUUUCAGCCUUCCUUUCCAUAUUUGUCAUUUUGCUUUAAUUUUCCACAAUUCUACCUUGGAUGGUAAUAUUUAAUUCGCCACGAAUUGAGUGAAACGCUGGUCCGUUACCCAUCCCACUUCAAUAUUAACAAUAUUAAUAAUAAUAAAUAAAUUCUUCAAGCAAUUGAGAUUUGACACCCACCCCACUUCAAUAUUAAUAUUAAUGGGAAAUCAUAAAUUCUUCUACAAAUGAGUCAUUAUUUUAAAAUUGUUAUAAGCUUAUUUAUUUAAAAAAAAAAAAACGAGAAGGGGAACUUGUUAUCUUAAAAUUAAAAGAUUCUGGUGUGGCUACCCGAAUCCGCACGUUUUUUAAGAUUUUUUUUCCAAUCUUGUGUACCGUUCAACACCUAUAUAUGCUUUGCAAUUGAUUAGUUAACAAAAUAAAAUUCUUGAUCAGUUGUGCGGUAAAAAUAAUAUUAUUUUACAAAGCUUUACCUGGUGCAGUCAAUACGGCUAGAAAUUAAAGGAUCCCCAGCAUGAUAAUUAAGGAAUAAUUAUUAUUCUAGAUUUGUGCAGUGGCGAAGCUAAUAGCAUUUUUCGUUUUCGAGUGAGCUGAACUUUUUCCCCCCCCUAAUUCAAUACAUUUUUAUCGUACAAUAUAAUUUUGUAAAUAAGAAAUUAUAGAUGCACCUAAUAAUGCGCGACAAAAUAAGCUUUACCUCUCAAAAUAUUUGUUCUAAACAUUAUUUAAAAUAAUUUAGACACAUAUUUAUUCACAAAAUGAUGAACAGACAAGAAUUUGAUGAUAAUUGAAGAGGCAGCAUAACUAAUUAAUAUAAAAAUUUUUAUAUAGGUUUCAAUAAAGGAAAUUUUGUAACUAAAUAAUUUUUUUUCUGAGAAGCCCGGCCUUGCCCUCUCCAAAAUUCGCCACUGAAUUUGUGGGGUGGUUACUGGAGUUCACACGUUUUCAAAUUUUUUUUUCCCGAUCAUUCAAUAGUAAUUUUGCUUUUUAGUUUAUUAUUAUUGUUGUUAUUAUUAUUAACUCAGGCAUUUAUUAAAGCUCGAACACAUAAUCUAAACUUUGAUAUAUUUUUUGCUGAGAGGAGUCAAAAUUUGGGAAUUAUAUGCGCAUCAUAACAUAAUAAACAACCGCAAAGUAUCCUACGGAAACUUUCAGUGCACUCUGACAGCAGCUUUUGGUAGUCAAAUAGUCUUGGAAUCAUUUUUUAGCGCAUAUUCUUUUCGGUAAUGUGAUGAAUUCAUAUCUAAAGAAUCAAAACUAUGAUGUGAAUUUGCUGCAAAAACUGAUCCAAGACUAUUCAUUCAUUAUUAAACAUAUGAUAUCGUCCGUAAGACUGGAGAAAUAUGAAUGAAUUUGUUGAUGAUAACUCAGAAGACGGUUAACGGUUAAAUAUGCUAUGUUGAAAUGCACUGUACAGUCAAUUAAUUUAGUUAGGACUCUGUUUCUAGAAAACAGAGUAUAAAAGAUGACUAACUGUUUUGGGAGAUGCUUUUGGAGGGACUUCUAGAUGAAAUUGAGAGAGAGAGAGUGUGAGAGAAACUCUGUAAAGUCUUCUCCAAUUGGUAACCCCUUUUGUUGCGAAUAAUAAAGCUUCAAGGCUGUUCAUUUAUUUGUACAUAAGCAGGGGGAAAGCCUAUGUAUAGACAGCUUCAAAUGAGGAAACUGCACCUAACUACGCAGCAGCUGUAAUGAAGAAGACAUUGAUGCAUUAGCUUCCUGUUCCGUCUUCUUGGUCUUCGGGGAGGUUGGUAGCAGCAACUUUAAUUGUUCAAAGCAAACACUUAUCUUUCGUUUCUCAUAAAACCUCGUGAGGUAAUGCUUUAGAUGACUGGUAUGCAAUAUUGUCAAUGACAAAAUGUAAUGUUGUAUUCUGCUGAUCAACAUGUAAAAACUACAUAUUACUUGAAUUAGUUUUUUUUUUUUUUAAUUUACUAAAUUUCAGAAUUUGUUAACGAUGUUUGUACUUGGUUUUAACUCGAUUAAAGCUCAUGAAACUUAAUUGAUUAAUUAAUCAUUUAGUUAAAUUUAUUCGCUUUCAUGCUAUGGAUCUUUGCUAUAAUAACAAAUGCUUAAUUAUAUGCGUAUGUGUGAUAUAAUAGCUGCGUCUUACAUAGCAUAACACUACACCAAAUAUGCCCCCCUCAGAUACUAAUUAAUUACACAAAUGUACUUUUAUUCAAUUUAUUAUUUAAAAUAAUAUUUGAAAAAAAAUGGACUUGAGCAGAGCAAAGUAGAGAUAAUAAACAAGGGUAGAUUAUGCAUGCGUCAAAAGAUUUUAAAAAAGAAAAAGAGAAAAUAUACGGAAAACAAGAAAAUUGCGGGGAGCCACUCUUGUCUUUUACUUUGGACUUGAAGUCGUUCCAGGUGGAUAAUGUUUUCCUUUUAAAUAUUUAGAAUUAUAUUGUGGCGCUAUUUAAAAUAAGUUAUAAUUUUCUUAAAAUCAGACUAUGAUUACGGUACUCCAUGGUCAGAGUGUCGUUGAAUAAUGCUGAGUCUAUUGAGUCCUUUUCAAAUCGAAACCAGAACUAAAGAAAAAUCCAGAACUGAAACAAGGGCACGAACCAGCAAGAUUUGAAGGAAAAAUUUACUUCGUUAGUGAUCAACAACUAAUCAAACGUAAGUGGAUUUACAGAAGACUUUGUACAGAUCACAAUGAAACAGAUUCUAUGCAAAUUGACGAACAACUGAAGAAGAAAAAGGAUCGUACAACAGGCACUGCUCAUAAGCUUCUAUUUAUACUGAUGUUUCUGGAAACGUUGUAACAGAUUAUAACUAAUUCGUGCCACGUCAGCAUAAAAUAUCUACUAGACCCAUUUAACUGAAGUCAAUCUGCACAACGACUCUGAACCUCUUCAUAUUUUCCAUUUCAGUCCACAGACUCAACUACACACGUCUCCAAAAAUAAUAAGUUUUAUUUAUUUAUUUUUAUUAAUAAAAUAAAUUUUUAUUAACUUUCGUUGAUUUUGGUAGAUUUUGUUUUUGAGCUGUUACUACACUGUCGGCUGGUGUGUCAUCAUACGUAGUAGCGUCAUCAACCCUCUCAUGACUUUGACGGCCGAAACAUGUUUCAUGGCACAAAUAAUGACAGAUUUGUUUGAGGUACGGCGGAGAUGCCUAUUCAAAUAUUUGAAGCCAGCCCCUCCUUGUUUAACAUUUUUUUUUUUAAAAGGGGAACAACUGCUUUAGCUGUAUAUAUCAAGAAAAUUAGCUAACAGUUUAUGCACUUAAUUAUUUAUUUUGCCACACAUUUGUAAGUGGUCAAUGCUGCCGUAAAAUUAUUAGACCCAAAAUAAAGUGUGAUGAGGGACAGGAAUUAAUGUUCCCAUUAGCUGUAGCACCUAUCUUCCAUCUCUAAUUUUAACUUUCGAUUGAUGAAGUGUUUUCAAAUUUGUCAAAUGUCUGUAAACUGUUUAAUAAUUGAAGAAAGUUAAAAUUCAUUUUCUAAAAAUUAUUUUCAUUCAAAAUUGCGAUUGGAUGGUAAUCAGGGUUAAUAUCAGAGCUUAAGAUACUAUAACCGUGAGAACCUAUUGACUGCCAAUUAAAAUAUCCAUUAAAAUGUCUAGGGAGUUAUGAAGGUGGGGGUAACUUCCAAUUUCUAAGGCCACAGAGUAGACAUCAUCCAGGAUCCUAGGAAAGUCCAGUUAACCUCCUGCUCGAUGCAAUUAAUAAAUUUGGUCAAUGCCACUGAAACCUGCUAACUGACGUCACAAUGCGACAUGAGCACUUCAAAAUGGGACGGACAGUCAGUAGCACUGAAUUUUUCUUGCCUAAGAUUGAGCAAUUGGUCUAACUACUAAUCCCUAUUGUAGGUUGAUCAUUAUUUUUUCAAUUAUGUUCAGUUUGACCCAAAAAGUUGCAGAAUCUUGAGCUGAAUAUUGUCACGGAACACUGUCAAUGUCGCUUAGCAUAGCCAACAAACUUGAUGUUAAAACAAACACACAGUGUGUCUCAUGUCUCACAAAUCAAAUUAUCAUCUGUAAUGAUGGAGAAUUUUUCCAAUGUAUGAAGUAUGCUUUGAUACGUGGGUUACCUUGGAGAAGAUAUCUCAAAAUAAAGAAUAUGGGGAGAAAACAGUUCAGUAGUUUAUUAUUCUGUAGUCAAGUUUUGUCUCGAAAAUGGUCAAAAUUUAAAUGAUUAAGGACAGGGGAUCUUCAUUCUUUUUCCCCUUUUUUAUACCAAGAUAUCUCUCAACCUUUAUAUAAUCCCCACUGGAUAUCUGCUUCUCAUAAUUAAAAUAAAAAUUUCACCGCUCUAACAAUAAAAAGUAACAUCUUUAGUCAAAUAAUUUUGCGGUUCCUCAUCAUCUUAGUGUGAGACUAUCAGUACUUCCAAAAACAUAAUAAAACUGGUUUGAUCCUGUUUAUUAAUGUUUAAAUGUUGUUCAUUGUGACAUGUAGAAAUGAUGAGGCGAAGUUUAUUUGGGCAUCAAUUAGUAAGAUCUUGUUCGAAGUUGUUUUCUGAAAUGAACUGCCAAAUGGUAGUUUUUUGGGGGCAUUUGAUGGCUCUUUUUUUUUCCUCAUUUUCAACAUGUGCCUGCUUGGAACAGGAAGGAUUAGGCUUUAGAGUUGUUAUUUAUUUUGAGAUGCUCUGGUCAUUGCACAAUUUGUUCACACUGGAAAUUAGAAUGAGAAAUUUGUUGAUGCUGUUUUGAGAGAUCUGCAUUCUAUGCACAAUAACAUGAUUAAUGAAAAUGUAUUGUAGGACUGGAAAGAUCUGUGGCAGCCUGAGCUCGCAGGAAGAAUUUCAAUGGUUAAUUCUCCCCGAGAGGUUAUUGGUUCAGUUUUGAAGUAUAGGGGAGCAUCAUACAAUUCAAACGAUAUUGAUUCGCAAGUUGCUGGUGGGAAGAUUGCUGUUCAGCAGAAUCUGGCAUUACUGGCAAACCAGGUACUCUUACAGAAAUGAUAUCUGGUCAUUGCAUGUUAUUGCCUGACAACUGAUUUUGUUUGUAAAAGUCUACUUCUUCAUACAUAUGAAUGCAUAUGUUAGUGUUUUCUUCUCGUUUUCAUACAUAUAAAUGCAUAUGUUAGUGUUGUCUUUUCCUUUUCAUACAUAUUACUACAUAUGUUGGUGUUCUCUCCUGAGAUGGAUGCAAUAAAGGCUUUUGCUCCUAAAUUUAGCUGAAGAAAUGGCAAGGGAUGUGAGAUUCUGUCUCAUUAAAUUAACAAAAACCCAAAGCAAUGAAAAUCCAUAAUAAUGUGGUGUGGGUAAAUUGGCUCCAUUUGGUUCGUUUCCUUAAUGUGAAUGCGCGAGCAAUAGAGACUAACAAAAUGAAGUGACAACAAGAAGUCAGUGUCCUUUGAUGGAUGCAUUUUUAGGCAGAAAUAGGUUUGUAAUUGACCAAAUUUGUCUGGCAUGCCAAUUUCAAAAAAAUUAAAUUAUGUGGUUAUUAGCUGUAAUGAAGGGGGAUAGUAGGUGCAAUCAGGUGGAUCCUGGAAAGUUCAAUAAAGUUUUGGUAUGGCGUAGUGAAAUUGGUUUGUGCAACUCAGGAGUCUUUCAGGUGAACGAUGAUAGGUUUUGAUUUAUGAAUAUUAUAAAUCUACUGUGCAUAGUAUUCUAGUAGAAUCAUCUAUAAGUUCUAGUUAUUGAAAUUGUAUACUUUGCCCGGUUUGAGUUAAGGGCACAUGUAAUAUGAAAGAUAGUUGUCGCAUCUUUUAGGUUACCUAACAUUUGAUCAAUCCUAUUAUGGGGGCUUCAAGAUGUCUAACAAUAUGUAGAAUGCCCAUGCUCCUCCCCAUUGUUUAUCUUCUACAAUAAUUUGUUUUAGAUGCUAAUAUCUUUGUCGAUACCGGUAACAAUAUUACAAUAUCUGCGUUUAUUGGGUUUUACAUAGGUUCGACUGUUUGACAGUACACACUAUCUGAAGGCAUUUGCAAUUGGAGAUGUAUGGGUUGCUGUUGGGUGGAUUAGUGAUGUUCUUCCUGCUGUCAAACAUAUGUCUAAUGUUGCUGUUGUUGUUCCCAAGUCUGGUGCUAGCUGCCUGCCAUUCUACUUCGAUAUUCACAUUGUUAUCUCCUUCAUAUUAGCGAUCAGUAAACACGAUAAUGUGACUAAUAAGUUCGUAUUCUCUUUAUAGGCAAUCCCUGCUGCCUCAAGACUUGAAACAAAACAAAUUGGAGGGCGAGUCGGAGGUCCAUCUCCGUUAAUCCAUCAAUGGAUAGAAUUCUGCUUGCAAACAGCGAGAGCAUUACCUUUCAAGCAAGAGGUAAUCCCAGGUGCAUCUCCCUCUGCCCUUGAAAGUACUCUGGUUAAGUUGCCUGAAGAACUUCUGGAGGGUAAACCAAGUCUGGAUACUAACUUAAUUGCUGGAGUACUCCCGGCUGAAAUUCUGGCCAGAUGUGAGUUUUUGGAGCCAUUAUCUGAAGCUACUUUGUCAGAUUAUGAGUGGCUGGUUGUUAAUCUGCAAAAACCUGCUCCUGUCUUGAUGAAAAGGGUGCAACAUUACUUGUCAUCAUUAAUCCAAAGCUUUCUAGCAAGAGCUACAUUGAAAAGUUAAUGGCGCUGCAUGCCAGUCAUUAUAAUGCUGUCAGGACAAUUGGGUCAGGGCAAUUAGGUCAGAGCAUAACUUCAUUAGGAAAGGGGGCUUCAGCUACGUUAAAUAUUACAGGAUGUACUGAGAUGGCUGAAGUUCUUGAGGUUUUAUGAGAAACGAAAGAUGAGUGUUUGUUUGAACAAAGUUGUUGCCAAUCUUGCAGAGUUUGAAAACAAAGAUCACGGAGCGAAUGCCACCGAUUUCUUCAUCAUUUUAGCCUCCAUAAUUGAAGUUUCCUCAUUUGAAGCUGUUUAUGCAUACGAUUUUUCCCUGCUCUAGUACAGGAAAUUGAAGAAUUAACCAGAUGUGAUAUGCUGAAAGAGGGAAGUUUUCUUCCUUGAAUGUGGCCUUUGUGAUUUGUCUUGAAGGAAUAGGAUGAUCACUGGCAAGAACCCUAUCAAGGUAGAUUUUAUGGUGUUAACAUAUUAUUCAGCAUUUUGUUACAUUAGCAAUGAUGCUUUCAUAGCAUGAAAGUGUUUAAAUUUAACUGAAUGAUCUUGAUUGAUCAAUUAUGAGUUUUAAUCGAGUAAAAACUAAAUACAAUAAUCGUAACAAANNNNNNNNNNNNNNNNNNNNNNNNNNNNNNNNNNNNNNNNNNNNNNNNNNNNNNNNNNNNNNNNNNNNNNNNNNNNNNNNNNNNNNNNNNNNNNNNNNNNUGCUACCUUUUGAUUUUAGUGCUUAAUAUUUAUUGAACUAUGAUGCAGGGAAUUUGAAAUCAAACUCGUAAUACAGAUUAUCUAAUUGCGAGUUGCUGUCCAUAGCUGCUAAUUUGUAGUGAUUAUCUAAUUGACUGAGGUGACAAUAAUUCUUUUAUUUUCAAUAGCACAAUGUGGAAUUCAAUAAUUAAAUUCUCCUGUUUAAUUUGUUUCAAGUUAAAUUAUUAAUUACUUAAACUCGGUUUUAAGUCUUUAAUUUUAUGUGUUUAUGCAGAAUUGGAUUCUUGAGCGUGUUGGACACGACCAACAAUGAAAUUGACAGUAAACAAACAUUAGAACAUGUGGACUCCGGUAAGCACCAAUGAAUUUCUAGCCCCGUUGACUCCGCCAACUAAAGUUUUGUAAAAUAAAAAAAAAUACAUAGAAUUCCACCAAAUGCAAAACGCGUAAAAUUUAAUUUUCGGCCGUGUGGACCAAAACAUAAUUUAACAAAAAAGAAAAAAAUGAUAAGAUUUUUAAAAUGUGUGGAAGGUGAUCCAUAUUUUACUGAAACGACUUGUUAAAUUUUUCAAGGAUUUAGAAUAUUUGGUCAUAAAUUACGUGCAUGUUAAUUUUUCCGCCAUUGACUAUCAUAUUCUAGACUUAAUGGUACCUUUUUUGAUGAAGGGUACUUAGUCUCUCUUCUCCUCUUAUAAAAAUUAUAUUAAUUGAUUUCUUGUUAUAGUUAAUAGUCUUCAAGAACGGAUAGAUUUAUUGUUUUCAUGACCAAAUUAUGCAUGCCUAACGUUGCAACUAUUAAUAAAAUUAAUAUUUAAUAUUUAUGUUAAAAGAUAUAAGAUUUUAUGCAUUCAUUAAUUGUUAUUAGCUAAAGGAUGAAUUAUUUUUUCCCAAUCAGUUGAUGCAUCUGCAAGAGUUUUUUUUUCUUUUAUUGACCAUAAUUAUAUUCCGGGUACAAUAAAUUGUCUUUGGUGCUUGGAAGAUAUGACAUCUCUCUGUCAACUUACUGGAAAUAUCUCCUCAUCUACUCUCAUUUAUCUAAUAUCAAUUGAAGAUCUCAUAUUUCCAAACUAUGACUUCCAAAUCUCAUUAUCAUUUGAGCAUUCAAAACUAAUCAAGUGUGGAAAUAAUCAAAUAUAUGCAAAAAUCGAGUCACAAUCUUUGGCCCCUCAAAAUUCUAAUUAUAUAACUUCUAUAUAUCUCAUACAUUUUCCAAAUUCCUCUUCCAUCAACAUCAUUAGGAGUAUGUUCAUCUCUCACACAUUAACUUGAGUGGAGAGUUUCCAAAUUGAUUGUCAGAAAACAACAAAAGAACUAGACACGCUUGAUCUGUCUAAUAAUUCUCUUUCGGUAAAAUUAAUUAAUUUUAGGGGAAUUCAGCCAACCUCUGUAAUUUUAUAGUGAUCAUUAAUUAAUUAAACAAUACAAAUAUCUAAAGUGAUUAGAUGUUUACUGACAAUACAAGUUCAUGGCUUGAAAUUUGAUCUCUAUCGAUUGGUUUUGUAGUGCUUAAUAUUUACAGAACUCCGGGAAUUUGAAAUCAAACUCGUAACUACAGAUUAUCUAAUUGUAAGUUUUUGUCCAUAGCUGCUGAUUUGUAGUGAUUAUCUAAUUGACUGAGGUGACAACAAUUGUUCUUUUAAUUUUCAAUAGCAUAAUGUGGAAUUCAAUAAUUAAAUUCUCCUUUUUAAUUUGUUUCCAAUUAAAUUAUUAAUUACUUAAACUCUAUUUUAAGUCUUUAAUUUUAUGUGUUUAUGCAGAAUUGGAUUCUUGAGCGUGUUGGACACGACCAACAAUGAAAUUGACAGUAAACAAACAUUACAACGCGUUGAGUGUCGACUCCGGUAGCUGCCCUACAAGUCUACAACUUUACAAAAAAUAAUUGAGUACACACAUUCGAUUCUCGGGACCCUUCAAUGAAUUUCUAACCCCGUUGACUCCACCGACAAAAGUUUUGGAAAAUAAAAAAAAAAUUUAUAGAAUUCCACCAAAUGCAAAACGCGUGGAAUUUAAUUUUCGGCCGUGUGGACCAAAACAUAAUUUAAUGAAAAAAAAGAAGAUAAAAUUUCUAAAAUGUGUGGAAAUUGAUCCAUAUUUUACUGAAACAACUUGUUAAAUUUUUCAAGGAUUUAGAAUAUUUGGUCAUAAAUUAUGCUCAUGUUAAUUUUUCCGCUAUUGACUAUCAUAUUCUAGACACAAUGGUACCUUUCUUGAUGAAGGGUACUUAGUCUCUCUUCUCCUCUUAUAAAAAUUAUAUUAAUUGAUUUCUUAUUAUAAUAAAUAGUCUUUAAGAACGUAUAGAUUUAUUGUUUUCGUGACCAAAUUAUGCCUGCCUAAGGUUGUGACUAUUAAUAAAAUUAAUAUUUAAUGUUUAUGUUAAAAGAUAUAAGAUUUUAUGCAUUCAUUAAUUGUUAUUAGCUAAAGGAUUAAUUAUUUUUUCAACCCAAUCUGUUGAUGCAUCUGCAAGAGUUUUUUCUUUUAUUGACCAUAAUUAUAUUCCGGGUACAAUAAAUUGUCUUUGGUGCUUGGAAAAUAUGACUUCUUACUUCAAGUUUGAUAUGUCUCUCUCCAUAAGCUUACUGGAAAUAUAUCCUCAUUUACUGUCAUUUAUCUAAUAUCAAUUGAAGAGCUCACUUUUUCAAACUAUCACUUCCAAGUCUCAUUGUCACUUGCCAUUCUUGGACCAUUCAAAACCAAACAAGUGUUGNNNNNNNNNNNNNNNNNNNNNNNNNNNNNNNNNNNNNNNNNNNNNNNNNNNNNNNNNNNNNNNNNNNNNNNNNNNNNNNNNNNNNNNNNNNNNNNNNNNNNNNNNNNNNNNNNNNNNNNNNNNNNNNNNNNNNNNNNNNNNNNNNNNNNNNNNNNNNNNNNNNNNNNNNNNNNNNNNNNNNNNNNNNNNNNNNNNNNNNNNNNNNNNNNNNNNNNNNNNNNNNNNNNNNNNNNNNNNNNNNNNNNNNNNNNNNNNNNNNNNNNNNNNNNNNNNNNNNNNNNNNNNNNNNNNNNNNNNNNNNNNNNNNNNNNNNNNNNNNNNNNNNNNNNNNNNNNNNNNNNNNNNNNNNNNNNNNNNNNNNNNNNNNNNNNNNNNNNNNNNNNNNNNNNNNNNNNNNNNNNNNNNNNNNNNNNNNNNNNNNNNNNNNNNNNNNNNNNNNNNNNNNNNNNNNNNNNNNNNNNNNNNNNNNNNNNNNNNNNNNNNNNNNNNNNNNNNNNNNNNNNNNNNNNNNNNNNNNNNNNNNNNNNNNNNNNNNNNNNNNNNNNNNNNNNNNNNNNNNNNNNNNNNNNNNNNNNNNNNNNNNNNNNNNNNNNNNNNNNNNNNNNNNNNNNNNNNNNNNNNNNNNNNNNNNNNNNNNNNNNNNNNNNNNNNNNNNNNNNNNNNNNNNNNNNNNNNNNNNNNNNNNNNNNNNNNNNNNNNNNNNNNNNNNNNNNNNNNNNNNNNNNNNNNNNNNNNNNNNNNNNNNNNNNNNNNNNNNNNNNNNNNNNNNNNNNNNNNNNNNNNNNNNNNNNNNNGUAUUUUACUUGGAAGAUAUGACAUCUCUCUGUCAACUUACUGGAAAUAUCUCCUCAUCUACUCUCUUUUAUCUAAUAUCAAUUGAAGAUCUCAUAUUUCCAAACUAUGACUUCCAAAUCUCUCAUUAUCAUUGAGCAUUCAAAACUAAUCAAGUGUGGAAAUAAUCAAAUAUAUGCAAAAAUCGAGUCACAAUCUUUGGCCCCUCAAAAUUCUAAUUAUAUAACUUCUAUAUAUCUCAUACAUUUUCCAAAUUCCUCUUCCAUCAACAUCAUUAGGAGUAUGUUCAUCUCUCACACAUUAACUUGAGUGGAGAGUUUCCAAAUUGAUUGUCAGAAAACAACAAAAGAACUAGACACGCUUGAUCUGUCUAAUAAUUCUCUUUCGGUAAAAUUAAUUAAUUUUAGGGGAAUUCAGCCAACCUCUGUAAUUUUAUAGUGAUCAUUAAUUAAUUAAACAAUACAAAUAUCUAAAGUGAUUAGAUGUUUACUGACAAUACAAGUUCAUGGCUUGAAAUUUGAUCUCUAUCGAUUGGUUUUGUAGUGCUUAAUAUUUACAGAACUCCGGGAAUUUGAAAUCAAACUCGUAACUACAGAUUAUCUAAUUGUAAGUUUUUGUCCAUAGCUGCUGAUUUGUAGUGAUUAUCUAAUUGACUGAGGUGACAACAAUUGUUCUUUUAAUUUUCAAUAGCAUAAUGUGGAAUUCAAUAAUUAAAUUCUCCUUUUUAAUUUGUUUCCAAUUAAAUUAUUAAUUACUUAAACUCUAUUUUAAGUCUUUAAUUUUAUGUGUUUAUGCAGAAUUGGAUUCUUGAGCGUGUUGGACACGACCAACAAUGAAAUUGACAGUAAACAAACAUUACAACGCGUUGAGUGUCGACUCCGGUAGCUGCCCUACAAGUCUACAACUUUACAAAAAAUAAUUGAGUACACACAUUCGAUUCUCGGGACCCUUCAAUGAAUUUCUAGCCCCGUUGACUCCACUGACAAAAGUUUUGGAAAAUAAAAAAAAAAUUCAUAGAAUUCCACCAAAUGCAAAACGCAUGGAAUUUAAUUUUCGGCCGUGUGGACCAAAACAUAAUUUAAUGAAAAAAAAAAGAUAAAUUUUCUAAAAUGUGUGGAAGGUGAUCCAUAUUUUAUUGAAACAACUUGUUAAAUUUUUUAAGGAUUUAGAAUAUUUGGUCAUAAAUUACGCUCAUGUUAAUUUUUCCGCUAUUGACUAUCAUAUUCUAGACUCACUGGUACCUUUCUUGAUGAAGGGUACUUAGUCUCUCUUCUACUCUUAUAAAAAUUAUAUUAAUUGAUUUCUUAUUAUAAUAAAUUGUCUUUAAGAACGUAUAGAUUUAUUGUUUUCGUGACCAAAUUAUGCUAGAUUAAGGUUGCGACUAUUAAUAAAAUUAAUAUUUAAUGUUUAUGUUAAAAGAUAUAAGAUUUUAUGCAUUCAUUAAUUGUUAUUAGCUAAAGGAUUAAUUAUUUUUUCAACCCAAUCAGUUGAUGCAUCUGCAAGAAUGUUUUCUUUUAUUGACCAUAAUUAUAUUCCGGGUACAAUAAAUUAUCUUUGGUGCUUGGAAAAUAUGACUUCUUACUUCAAGUUUGAUAUGUCUCUCUCCAUAAACUUACUGGAAAUAUAUCCUCAUCUAUUAUCAUUUAUCUAAUAUCAAUUGGAAGAUCGCACUUUUUCAAACUAUCACUUCCAAGUCUCAUUGUCACUUGGCCAUUCUUGGACCAUUCAGAACCAAUCAAGUGUUGAAAUAAGUCGAGAGGGGGGGCAAAAUUAGAGUCACAAUUUUUGGUCCCCCAAAUUCUAAUUAUAUAACUUCUAUAUAUUUCAUUGCCAGGUCACGAACUUGUUGGCACAUUUUCCAAAUUCCUCUUCCAUCAACUCUCACACGUUAACUUAAGUGGAAAGUUUCCAAGUUGAUUGCUAGAAAGCAACGCAAAAUCAGACACGCUUGACCUGUCCCCUAAUUCUCUUUUCUACGUUGAAAAAGAAAAAAAAAAUAUAUAUAUAUAUCUAUGUAAAAAUAAAUAAUAAACUGAAUAAAAGUACAUUUGUUUAAUUAACAUCUGAUCGUGGCAUUUUUGGUGUAAUUUCGUGCUGUGUAAGCCACAACUAAAAUCAAACAGCCCCUUAGCAUACUUCUUCCAUUUUAUCUGGUACUUUUGUGGAUCUUAUAGGGUGGGCAUGUGGACAGAAUUUAAAAGUUUUAAUAGUCUCAAAGAAUAAGAUAUGUUAAAGCUAAAGUUGUUGCACCUUCUAAUUAAAUAAAGUUGUACAAUUUCACCAACUUGGAAGAAUUGACAUUAAUGGACUGGUCCCUUCUCCAUAUAUGAAGCCUUCUUAAAAGUUAAUUUUUAUUUCAGAAAAAAAAAGUUAAAGUUACAUAUAUUAUAGUAAGAUUUUUUGAGACCAAUUCCCUUCUUGAAAUAAUAAUGGAAAAGUAUUAAUUUAAUAAUAAAAUGAAUAUGUAUUGAUUAUAUCUUGAUUUUCAUCGAUUAUAGUGAGAGUUUCUCCAAAUCAAUUCCCUUAUUCAAAUAAUAUCGAAAAAAUAGUAAUUUAAUAGUAAAAUAAACAGGUGUUGAUUAUAUAUUCUAAGUUUCAUCGAUUAUGUGAUCAAAGUGGCAUUGUUGAUUUAUUUCUUGUUCAAUGUUAAUUUUUAGGUUAUCUAAAUUUCAAGGAUUUAAAAUCUUUGAUCAUGGAUUACACGCUUGUUAAUUUUUCUGCCAUUGACUAUCAUAUUCUAGACUUAAUGAUACCUUUCUUGAUCAAGGGUAAUUACUCUCUCUUCUCCUCUUAUAAAUUCCUCUUCCAUUAACAUCACUAGGAGUAUGUUGAUCUCUUACAAAACAACAAAAGAACUAGACACACUUGAUCUGUCUAAUAAUUCUCUUUCGGUAAAAUUAAUUAAUUUUAGGGGAAUAUUCGACCAACCUCUGUAAUUUUAGAGUGAUCAUUAAUUAAUUAAACGAUACAAAUAUCUAAAGUGAUUAGAUGUUUGCUGACAAUGCAAGUUCAUGACUUGAAAUUUGAUCUCUAUCGAUUGGUUUACAAAUGGACAUACUUGUGCCUUUGUGGCGAUAAUCGAACAAGUUCCAAUGAUUAUUAUUUUUUCCAAAAACUUUUUUACAACAAAUUCAUCUCGCCAAAAAUUCUAUGUUGCUAGCUAACAAUAAUUGAGCACUUGGCCGCAUUGACUCCACGUCUCCACCUCUUUCUAAAUUCUAAGUAAAAACAUGGAAAUGUAAUUUCCACAAAAUGCCAAACGUGUGGAAUUUAAUUUUUUGCCUUGUGGAUCAAAAUACAAAUGAAAGAAACAGGAAAAAAAAAAAAGGCCCAAAGACUUCUAAAAGAUGAAGAAGUCUUUGGGCCUUUUUAUAAUGGUGGAUUUUUUAAAAGAAAAAAAUAACAACACUUUUAUGGUUGGUUUUGAUAAUCAUAUGUGCGUAUAUACUCUCUAAUUUUCAAAAUGGACACAUAAAUCUUUUUUUUUCACAAAAUAUAUAUUAUUCAUAUUUUUUAUUUUUUAUUAUCAUAUUUUUAUUUAUUAUAAAUGUUUAGAGUAAAUUUUUAGGUUGAAAUAUAAUAAAAGGGUAUAAUCGUUCUCUUAUUAAACACACAUACUUUUAUUAGUUUCUAUGCAUUUGUCAUCUCAAUCUCUCUCAAUUAUUCUUUAUUGCUAGCUCAAAACACGUUGCUGUUGCAAAUUAUAGCAAAAUGACAAAUAUGGAAAAAAAGGGAAGAAAAUUAAUGCAUGAAAGACUUGGAGAAAACAACAAAAUAAGCCAACUAUGAGCUAGUUGGGUGUAUAAAUUGUUAGAUGUGUUAUAUACAAAUAGCAUAGAGCCCUCUAGUUGGUUCUAGAGACAGAAAGAGCGUGUGUGUUUUUUCACAGUUAGAGAUAUAGUUAGAAUGGGUGGCUCAAAAUCAAAAAUGAUGAUAAUGUUUAUUAUGUUAUUAAUAAUAUUUAAAAGUGGGUGGAGUGAGGGAUGUUUGGAUCACGAGAGAUUUGCUCUUUUGCGACUCAAACAUUUCUUCACUGGUCCUUGUAAUUAUCUUUACGACUGGGUAGAUGGUGAGGGAGCUACUGAUUGUUGUCAGUGGGAAAGGGUUGAGUGCAGCAACACCACAGGCCGAGUGAUAACGCUAGACCUUUUUGACACGUAUGGGGGAGAGCACAACUGGUAUCUGAAUGCUUCUUUGUUUACUCCCUUCCAACAACUUGAGUCACUUGAUUUAACUUACAACAAAAUAACCGGUUGUGUUGAGAAUGAAGGUGCUUCGUUUAAUUUAAUUAAUUUACUUUCUCCCCCCUAAUUUAAGUUGAAUAUCAAGACCGAGCAAUUAUAUGCAUAUUCAUUCAGUUGACAAUUUUGACUUUUUUUUUAAAGAUUAAUUUUGAAAUUACACUAGUAUCUAUGAUCCUUUUUUUUUUUAUUUUACUUGCAGGUAUAGAGAGGCUAUCAAGAUUGAACAACUUGAAGAUGCUUAAUUUAAGUGAUAACUCGUUCAACAAUAGCAUUUUAUCAUCACUAACUCAUCUUUCAUCAUUAAGAUCAUUAAAUUUAUAUGGGAAUAGAUUAGAAGGAAGUAUUGACGUUAAAGGUACAUAAUUAAAACUUCAUCCCUUCUCCAAGCUCUUUCAUUAACUUGCUAAAAUAAGAUUCAAGGCUUUGAAUUCAAUUUUUUUUAUGAUUAGUAUUAAAAAAAAACAGUUUUAAGCAAUUUAUAAAUACAAGUUUUAAUCUUUCUCAUAAUUUCAUCUUGUACUUUCAUGUGUCUUGAAUUUAAGAUUAAAAAGAAAUCUAAUAGCAAACCAAACACCUCCACAACUUAUUAUUAUUAUUAUUAUUAUUUGCGGUGAGGUUUGAAACAUUCAACUCAAUUUGUACUUAUUACAGAAUUUGAUUCUUUGAGAGAUUUAGAGGAGCUAGACAUUGGCGAGAACAAGAUUGACAAAUUUGUGGUCUCAAAAGGUACUACAAAUACCAUAAAAAAAAAUGCUAACUUAUACAAAUUAGUUGGAUUCUUGGCCAUUUGGUUUAUUAUUUUACAGGUUUGAGUAAGUUGAAGUCUCUCUGUUUAAGUGGUAUCAAACUCAAUCGUAGCAUCUUCGCUUCUCUUUCUUCGUUAAGAGAAUUAGAUAUAAGUUAUACGGGAUUCAAAGGAACAUUUGAUGUUCGAGGUAAGUCUAAGCCUUGCUUUCUCAUUUUAUAUAUGCGAACUAGAUUUGUGUAUCAUCGACAUAAUUUAAUAUUUAAUUUAAUAAGUCUGAAGGUAUUACAUGCUAAUUUAAACAUACUUUUAUUUACUUUGUCAAUUAAUUAAUUAAUUAAUUAAUUACUAUUUGGCUUGGUUUGGACGAAAUUCUCAUGAUGUUUUAAUUUCUUUAAAUUAAUUAAUUAAUUAACUCUGUUUUUAAGUCUUAAGUCUGGGCAUGUUUGCAGAAUUUGAUUCCUUCAAUAACUUAGAAGUGUUGGACAUGGGAUACAAUGAAAUCGACAAUCUUGUGGUUCCUCAAGGUAAACAAUUAAAAUAUUAUUCAAUUACAUUAUUUUAAUUCAUUUGAUUAGAGAAGGCCAAAAAGGUCCCAAAAAAAUUAAUAAUAAAGAAACAGAUAAUUUGUAUUAUUUAAAAAAAACAGAAUGUAAUAAAGAUUUGAUUCCAGUUCUUUAAUCUUUAAAGCGAUUGAAAAACAAUGUUGCUCUUUUCCCAAAGUAUAAAAUACGAAUUGAAUGCCAAUUAACUUAAUCAUUCAUUUCGUUUAGCUCUAAAUUUAGACAAUGAAUUUUUAUAUUAUUUCAAAAACAGGACGUAAUAGAAUUUUUUUAAAAACAGAUUGUAAUGAAGAUUUGAUUCCAAUUUUUUAAUCUUUGCAGCGAUUGAAAAACCAUACCGCUCUUUUCCCAAAGCAUAAAAUACGAAUUGACUCCCAAUUAAAUUAAUCAUUUAUUUUGUUCAUCUCUGAAUUUAAAUAAUGAAUUUUGAUCUUCAAUCAUAUUCUAACUACUAUUAAAAAACAAGUUACAAAGGUUUGAGGAAGCUGAAAAGCCUUGAUCUAUCGGAAGUUGAAAUUAGAGAUGGAAGCAAGUUGUUACAGUCGAUGGGAUCAUUCCCAUCCCUCAACACUCUUUACCUGAAGGAUAAUAAUUUUACCGAUAUAGCGACAACUACUACUCAAGGUAAGUAAAAGGUACAGAUGUGGCCAAAUUUAUAAAUAAAUUGUUAAUUAAUUAAUUUUUCCGUAUUAUUAAUUAAGCUAAAUUCGUUGCUCCUUCCUUCUAAAUCUAAACAGAGUUGCACAAUUUCACCAACUUGGAAUAUUUGACAUUGACCGGUUCCUCUCUCCAUAUAAGCCUUCUGCAAAGCAUUGCAUCAAUAUUCCCUUUGUUAAAAAUUUUGCCGAUGAUUGGUUGUGAAGUCAAUGGCAUCCUACGUGGUCAAGGUAAAAGAAAAGCGUUGAAUGUGCACUCACUGAGUGUUGUCCUACGUGUUCAAUAUUUUCAUUUAUUCAUUUUAUUGUUUAAUGUUUCUGCUAGGUUUUACUCAUUUCAAGAGUUUGGAACAUUUGGACAUGGAUUACGCGCUCAUUGCACUCAACACCAGCUUUCUUCAAAUCAUCAGUGAAUCGAUGCCUUCUCUUAAGUACUUAUCACUAUCAAAUUCUACUCUUGGCACUAACAGCAGCAGGAUUCUUGAUCAAGGUUAAUCAGAUGCUCCCACCCCCCUUCUUAAUCUAUAAUAUUAAUUUUCAAUUAAAUAUUUAAUUACACAAACGAAUCACUUAUUAUAAAAGAAUAAUACGCAUUCAUUAAUUUUUAUAUUGUAUUAAUUGAUGAAUUUAAUAAAUUUUCAGGCCUCUGUUCGUUGAUGCAUCUGCAAGAGUUGUACAUUGAUAAUAAUGAUUUAAGAGGUAGCUUGCCUUGGUGCAUGGCAAAUAUGACAUCCCUCCGAUUAUUAGAUGUUUCUUCCAAUCAACUUACGGGAAGCAUCUCCUCAUCUCCCCUCGUUCAUUUGACAUCCAUUGAAGAGUUGAUGCUUUCAAACAAUCACUUCCAGAUCCCAAUUUCACUUGAACCACUUUUCAAUCACUCAAGACUCAAGAUUUUCAAUGCUUAUAACAAUGAAAUAAAAGCUAAAAUAACUGAGUCACAUUCUUUGAUCGCCCCAAAAUUCCAAUUAAAUACACUCUUGUUGUCUUCCAGUUACGGAGACAGUUUCAUAUUCCCCAAAUUCAUUUACCAUCAACAUGACCUGGCGUAUGUUGAUCUCUCACACAUAAAGAUGAAUGGAGAAUUUCCAACUUGGUUGUUGGAAAACAACACAAAAUUGAGCCAACUUUCUGUCGUCAAUGAUUCUCUUGCAGGACCUUUUCGGUUGCCAAUUCAUUCACACAAGCAGUUAAGACUGUUGGAUAUAUCCACCAACAACAUCCGAGGCCACAUUCCAGUAGAAAUUGGAGAUGUUUUGCCACGUUUAUACGUUUUCAACAAUUCCAUGAAUGCUCUAGACGGUAGCAUUCCCUCUUCAUUUGGUAAUAUGAAAUUCCUCCAAAUUCUGGACUUAUCCAACAAUCACUUGACUGGUGAAAUCCCCGAGCACUUGGCCGUGGGUUGCGUCAACUUGCAGGCUCUUGCAUUAUCAAAUAACAACCUACAAGGUUACAUGUUCUCUAGAAAUUUUAACUUGACAAACUUGAGAUGGUUACAAUUGGAGGGCAAUCGAUUCGUAGGUGAGAUCCCACAAAGUUUGUCUAAAUGCUCCUCACUAGAAGGAUUGUAUAUUAACAAUAAUAGUCUUUCGGGUAAGAUUCCACGAUGGUUGGGUAAUCUCACAUGGUUACAAUAUAUUAUAAUGCCCAAUAAUCAUCUUGAAGGCCUUAUUCCAGUGGAGUUUUGUCAGCUUGAUUCGCUUCAGAUUUUGGACAUUUCAGACAACAACAUAUCUGGAAGUUUACCAUCUUGUUUCCAUCCUCUCUCUAUCAAACAAGUUCAUCUUUCAAAAAAUAUGUUACAUGGACAACUAAAAAGAGGUACAUUCUUUAAUUGCUCUUCCCUUGUGACAUUAGAUCUUAGCUAUAACCGCUUGAAUGGCAACAUUCUGGAUUGGGUUGAUGGGCUUUCUCGGUUAAGCCACCUGAUCUUAGGUCACAAUAAUCUUGAAGGUGAAGUGCCAGUUCAAUUGUGCGAAUUGAACCAACUACAAUUGUUAGAUCUUUCUAAUAAUAAUCUUCACGGUCCUAUUCCUCCUUGCUUUGAUAACACCACACUUCAUGAAAGUUACAGCAAUAGUUCUAGUCCUGAUGAGCAAUUUGAAAUAUUUUUUUCCAUCGAAAGCCCUGUGGGAGAUGUAAAAGAGCAAAUCCAUGAAAUUUUUGAGUUAACAACAAAGAACAUUGCGUACAUUUACCAAGGAAAAGUGUUUAGCCUCCUAUCAGGACUUGAUCUUUCUUGCAACAAGCUAAUCGGUCAUAUUCCUCCUCAAAUUGGAAAUUUGACAAGGAUUCAAACAUUGAAUCUAUCGCACCAUAACUUGACAGGAUCGAUCCCAUCAACAUUUUCAAACUUGAAGCAUGUCGAAAGUUUGGAUCUUUCCAACAACAAAUUGAAUGGAAAAAUCCCUUAUCAACUAGUGGAGUUAAAGACAUUGGAGGUUUUCAGUGUGGCAUACAAUAACUUAUCAGGCGAAAUUCCAGAAUGGAAAGCACAAUUUGCAACCUUCAACGAGAGUAGCUAUGAGGGAAAUACUUUUCUUUGUGGACUGCCAUUGCCCAUUUGCAGAUCACCAGCAACUACGCCGGAGGGUUCAAUCGGCAAUGAACGAGAUGAUAAUUUAAUUGACAUGGACAGUUUCUUUAUCACAUUUACAACAUCGUACGUAAUUGUGAUAUUCGGAAUUGUUAUUGUUUUAUAUGUAAAUUCUUAUUGGCGACGUAAAUGGUUUUACUUUGUUGAAAUGUGGAUAACUUCAUGUUAUUAUUUUAUUGUAGACAAUCUUAUUACAACAAGAUAUUGUCAUUGAAAUUAAUUAGCAGUUUAAUUACGAUUCUUUAAGUUCUAAUCAAGUUUGCACUUGAUCGCCUAUUUUACUUUAAAAAAUAAUGAUUAUGGUGCUAUCAUCAUCUUCUUCACUAGCAACAUUAACACCAAAUCCAGCGAUGGACCCAGACAUUUUAUCAAGAUAUCCACCAUAACUUAUACUUCCCUAUACUGUGCAGCCUACUUAAAUAAGAGAACCAUCUCCAAUGUUAAAACCAGCCACUCUAUAACAUUCAUUUAGAAACUAUAUUUAGAACUCUCCAAUCCACCCACCAGAAUUUCAUAUCUCCUCAACAAUUUUAAGAACUAAAGAUAAUUAGGAUAUAACAUUAGUUUUUUAUAUAUUAGUUUCAUAAUUUACAAAUCAAUGAAGAUGAAGAUUAUGUUAAUGAAUUCAAAUUAUACCAUACAUUCUCGAGAUGCUACCAAAAAUUUCUAAGUCAAUCCCACAUAUUUCAUAAUUUUAAGACUAGAAAAUUUCAUUAGGUAGAAGUUUCAUUACCUUCAAGUGGAAGAUGAAGAACAUUAUACAAUUGAUUCAGAUUAUAUCAUACAUACUCCAAAUGCAACUAGAAAUUAACAAGUUCAUGCGCACAGAUUUCAUAACAUUAUGAAUGGAAAGUUUCACAAAGAGAAAUUAUAAAUUCAAUCUCUUGCAUCAAGGUAGUUUGAUUGAUUUGAGUUACUUUCUGAUCAAGCUAUUAAUAUAACAUUCAAGUCAGGGAGAAAGUAAAUUAAAACUGGGAAGAAAUAACAGUAAAAAUUUGUUGCUAAACAUGAUGUGUAUUUUUUUUUUAAGGCAAUUUGGAAACACAGUUGUUACUACAGAUAUUCUCCUCAACUUAGAGAUAAUACAAAUAUUAAAAUGCAUAUGAUCGCACAUAUUACUUUGGAAGCUUAGUAAGAUUUCAUUAAGAGAAGCAAAUCAAACCACUUAUUUCAUUGUUGCAUCGUUCUAUAAGCUAAAAUAGCAAUAUAAUACAAGAAAAAGAACAUAUAGAUACUUGGCAAGAGUUCAUUAAGAAGUCGCAUCACAUUCGGGUGAGUUUGCUUCUGAUAUCUUGCUAGCUGGGGCUUUUUCUUGUCUUUCUAUGUAUGCCGAGGGAAACCAACCAGCUUGGCCCUUGCAUUCACCUUCCGACCAUCCAGUAGGAGCCACCUUGAGAAGUUAUAACUAAAACAGUGAAUUAAACAACAGUUGACCAUUCAAAGACCUAAGGGGAAAACUAAUUCUUUUACGUAGGAAGAGUGAAUUAAUUCUGAUCACUGAAAUAACAGCAUAACUAUGGAAGCCUAAAAAGAUAUAAAUUCACACGUCUAUAAGGGUAAACUGGGUGGUUUAGAACUGAGCUAGCAACCCUACCAUAUUCUGAUUUGCACUUCAAUGUAAAAGGGAAUAUAUGGUAUGAAGAAAGAAAACCAACCAUCAUUUGUUAACCCAUUGCUUUUCAAUCAAAAUUUUAAGAACAAAAUGCCAUGUGCUUUGAACAUCAAAUAAGUAUAAGCAUUAGUUCUAAAUUCCACAUAUCAUAAGUUAGAAGGAUAAGUUAAUAGCAUAGUAGAAAAAUCUGUGUUGUUAUUUAGAGGGGAAAGUACCUGGCGAACCACAACAUAAUCAUCAAUUGAAAGACUUAACUCUCCAUUUGCUUGAGCAUCAAAUGGAUGUAUAACCUGCAAGAUAAUGGGAUAAAUAGAACUUAAUCUCAAAAAAAGCAUAACAAAAGCAGCAACAGUAUCAGCAGCGUUCAUUGUAACCACUAUGAUCAUGGCCAACAAAGAUAUAUUAGAAACAAAAUUCCAUUUUUACUACGGCAUUAAUAUGCACUAUAUGAUAUCAUGACGAUUGGGUUACCAAGAGCUAUCAAAGUCCAAUAAAUUCUGUAUAACUUUAUGUAGUUAUUCAAAUUAUGGAUCAGAUUUUAAAUCUGAAAUUUUGACUGCUCUCCACAAAACAUGGCCUAUGCACAAGAAGGUCAUAGAUAAUGAGGAUUACAAGUGUUUGACAUCUUUAGAGUGAUGGAUUUAAGAUGACAGCUUAUGGUCAGUCAAUUUCCUCCGCCUAGCAAUAUAAGCUUUCUCGGCCGGAUUUAUCAUCAAAUAUAUAGAUUGCCCCCAAGUCACAUCCAUAUAAACAUAGUUUUUCUAGGUAAACCAAGUAAGGAGAAUCAUAAUUCAGACAUAAUCAUAAAAAGGCCCAUCUAACUUAAGAGAAAAUCUCAAAAAGAGGAAUGUUGAGCUAUCAUUCUUGUAUCUAUAAGCAAUAUCAAGACUUUACAUCACCUGCUACAUCGUGAGUGGCUACACAACUUUCAGUGGUUUGUCUUUCUUUGGCAUGCCUAACUCAGCUUUGAUGUUGCUGAGAUAUUGAUGGUAGAGACACAUGAUACUUCUAGCUCAUGCAUUCUAUCUAGCUCAUUCGACAGCUAUCUCUUUUUUAAUUCAUUAGUGUUUGCUAAACCUCAU
This 45556-nucleotide long non-coding RNA is filed under the name Citrus x clementina. Its description in RNAcentral is "Citrus clementina (C. clementina) long non-coding RNA (CCLE_LNC002869)". Lineage: Eukaryota; Viridiplantae; Streptophyta; Magnoliopsida; Sapindales; Rutaceae. The record is from RNAcentral.